Molecule: long non-coding RNA, 65441 nt
Filed under: Ananas comosus (pineapple)
Lineage: Eukaryota; Viridiplantae; Streptophyta; Magnoliopsida; Poales; Bromeliaceae
Description: long non-coding RNA (ACOM_LNC001122)
Source: RNAcentral
UUUCAUUUUUAUACCCCUAAGUAGCCGACUCGGGAUACUGCUAUCUGGUCUCGGUGGUAGGGCGCUAACUACGGAGCUACGCCCUUGCCUCGCGCCGCCGCGCCGCUCACGUGCGAACCUGUAACAACCCAAAACAACGUGGGGUGAGAACAAACUCCAUGGUUCCCAGUGGNCGUGCUUCCUUGGUACGGCCGAACGAAAGAGAAAAGGAGAGAAGAGAGGAGAUAAACUCCUCUCUCUCUCUUCCCUGCAUGCAUAAAAGAGGGGGGGGAGGUGAUGCCACAUGGCAUUACACAUACUCACACAUGUGCACUCACACACACACACACACGUACCCUCACACACACACUUAUAUAUAUAUACUAAGUGUAGGGAUACUAGUAUACUACACAAAUCGAGAUCAAAAUGGGGAUUUCUUUAGACCCCAAAUCAAAUUGCAAAAUUAAAAGGGGAUUUCUUCGGACCCCAAUUCAAAUUAGAAUCAAACGGAAAUUUCAUCGGACCCCAAAUUGAAUUGCAAAAUAAAAAGGAGAUUUUUUUGGACCCCAAAUCAAAUUGCAAAAUUAAAAAGGAAUUUCUUCGAACCCUAAAUCGAAUUGCAAUCCUUUUGAACCCAAAUCCAAAUCAAAUCCAAUCGAAAACCACCACAAAUAAAACCCGAACCCAAAUCCAAAUCAAAUCCAAUCCAAUCCAAACCCAGAACCCAAAUCCGGACUCAAAUCCAAACCCAAAACACAAAUAAAACCGGAACCCAAAUCCAAAUCAAAUCCAAUCCAAACCCAGAAGCCAAAUCCGGACUCAAAUCCAAACCCAAAACACAAAUAAAACCUAAACCCGAAACUCAUGUCAAGUCCACAAAUAAAAUCCAAACCAAAAUAAAGAACCCAAACCCAAAAUCCAAAUCAAAUCCCCAAACCAAAACAAAGUCUACAAAUAAAAUCCAAAACCAAAUCAAGUCCACAAAUAAACCCAAACUUGAACCCAAAUCAAAUCCAAACCCAAACAAAAUCAAGUCCACAAAUAAACCCAAACCCAGAACCCAAAUCAAAUCCAAACCCAAAUCAAAUCAAGUCCAUAAAUAAAACCCAAACCCAGAACCCAAAUCAAAUCAAGUCCACAAAUAAAAUCCAAACCCAAAACCCAAAUCAAAUCCAAACCCAAACCAAACCAAGUCCACAAAUAAAACCCAAACCCAAAACACAAAUAAAAUCCAAACCCAAAACCCAAAUCAAAUCCAACCCAAGUCCAUACACCAAACCUCAUAAACCAUAAACCAAGUUCAUGAACCACCAAGCCCAUAAACCAUGAACCAAAUCCCACAUCCUAUGUACCAAGUUCAUGAACCAUACACCAUAUUCCAUGAACCAUACCCAAGUUCAUAAAUUAAGUCUCAUGAACCAUAAACCAAAUCCAAUAAGCCAAGUUCACGAACCAUACACCAUAAACCAUGAAUCAUACCCAAGUUCAUGAACCGAGUCUCAUGAACCAUAAACCAAACCUAUAAACCAUACACCAAGUUCAUAAAUCAUAAACCAAGUUCACGGACCAUACCUUAUGAAUCAUGAACCAUGAACCAAAUGAACCAAGUUCAUGAACCAUACGCCAUGAACCAUAAACCAUACACCAUGAACCAUAAACCAUACACCAAAUUCAUAAACCAUAAACUAUGAACCAUAUCCAUGAACCAAAUCUCAUGAAUCAUACACCAUAUCCCAUGAACAAUGCCCAAGUUUAUGAACCAAAUCUCAUAUACUAAACCCAAUAAACCAUAUUCAAGUUCAUAAACCAAAUCCAAUACCCAAAUCUCAUGAACAAUAAACCAAGUUCGUGAACCAAAUGAAUCAAGUUUAUGAACCAUAAACCAAAUCCUUAAACCAAGUCCAUAAACCUCAUGAACCACGAACCAUGAACCAAGUUCAUAAACCUCAUCCAUGAACCAUAUCCAAGUUCAUGAACCAAAUCCCAUACACUAAAUCUCAUGAACCAUGAACCAUAUCCAAGUUCAUGGACCACACCUAUGGACCAUAUACCCAACCUCAUGAACCAUACACCAAAUACUAUAAGGCAUACACCAAACCAUAUCCAAAUCUCAUGAACCAUAUUCAUGAACCAAAUCUCAUGAGUCAAUACCUAAAUCCCAUGAACCAUGUAUCAAGUUCAUGCCCAAAGUUCAUCAUGAACCUUUUCUUUACUCUAGUACAUAUACCUAGAGUAAAAAAAAAAAUGAAUAUCGGCUACCCCUAAUACAUAUACUUAGGGCUAAGUCAGCUCCAUCGCCUCAGCACAUAUAACUAAGGCAAAAUCAUCCCCAAACUGACAGAAGUUCUCACUUUUACAAUGUAAAAUCGCCUGAUUUGAACAUUGCUAAUUCGGCGAUUGAACUUGUCCAAGAGGGGAGACAGUCGGACUGUCUCCAUCGCGACCUCGUCCCUCGGCUUGACACUGCUUUGUCUUCCUAAGCGAAAACCGAGUUCUAAAUUAUAUACAUAGAAUUUAGUCAAAUGAUAUCAAGUUCAUUCGAACUCUAAUAUAUAUGCUUAGAGUUCAUCCGACUAACCCUAACACAUAUCCUUAGGGUCUAUACUACCUAUUGCUCUAGCACAUAUAUCUAGAGUCGAAGUCAAACCAAGCUCGACUGGUCCUAACACAUACACUUUGGGUCUAGUCAGCCUUUUGCUAUCUACCUAGAGUGAAAUUCAUACCUAAUUGAGCUUUAGAUUUGGUCAACUUGACUAGGCUGGCUGGCUCAAAUCCGAUAAAUUGUAAAGAAGUCCUUCAAAAUUGUUAUGGCACUUGCAUCCAAUUUGGUAUAAUUUAAUCUUGUCCAGACCAAUUUGAACAAUUUGAUUGAAUGGUUACAUUUUAUCAAUUGCGGUUCGGCUUGAGCCACUUUAAAUUCAACUACAAUCUGAAAUUGCUAAGUAACAAAUUAAAUCCAAAAUUUGUUUGUUAUCAUCAAAUUUUAUUAUUGGAUAAAAUCCAACAACUAUUUGAUUUAGGAAUUGCUCUAUAAUUAUAGUAGUAUCAUUCAUGAGUAGUGGACCUUCUAUGAGUGCGUUGAGAACUUGGUAUUGGUUAUUUGUGAUCUUUUGAUCAUCACAUAGACUCUACAAAUGCCACAUUGAGCAUGACAAAGUUACGUGCUAUUAGACUCGGUAGGGGUCAUUUCCCUCAAGUGUCGCUCCGGAUGCUGGCCAGCAUAGCAAAGAUAGUAGCCUAAAUGUGUAAGGACUGAGAUUUUGGCAGUGUAGCUAAACUCUCUGUUGAUGAUGUUUUUGUGUGUAAUUUAAUUACAUAAGCACUCGUCAAGUUUCAGGAGAAAACGAGUUAGAAUAGAGAAGUUACGCGAUAAAUACUAAUCACUUAAAGUGAAUAGUAACUCCGAUUUUUCAGAGAGGCUGAUGAGUAGAGUUGGCUUCUAGCGUGUAUCGGACUCGAUUCAUAGCUAUCCAAUAGCUCGUUUUGAAUGGUUCAGCUAUUCUGGACCAAUGGCACUGACGGAUUUCAGAUUUGAUGCACGAUUUGCGAGAAAAACUGGAAAUACGUAGAUUGUAUGUAUCUGUGUGUAAUUUUGCCAUUUGGAGAGAGAUCGGGUUUCGUCGCAAAUCCGUGACCAAACGAGGUGAAACAAAAUCAAAAGUUUGAUGUCUCUGUCGUGCAGAUCGUACUGGUGCAGCCCAUUCGCAAAUCUGACGGACGGAUCGCUAGAUAUCAUGCGUUUAUCAAGGAAGGGUCCAAUGGAUCAUUUUCGUAUUUCACGCGAAACCCCUAUAUUUUAUGUACCGAAUCGAGUGAAAUCAAACAUGGGGGUAUGUAAUCGUAUGUGACUCGCACAGUGAGGGACUCAGAUUAAAAUACUGAGUUUGGGAGGACUUUAGCACAAAUUGCAAUUGGUAUAUAUGUGCUAUUUAGGGUUUUCCUAGCCUAACCCUAACCCUAGCUAACCUAUUACCUCGACUGCGCCCCCAGCAAACUCCACCAGGUCUCUGCCCUAACCGUGCUCGCACCCCAGCCGCCGGUGAGUGAUUCCAGCCACCGGAAAAGUCAGCGUUCCCUUUCCCCCAUAGUUUCCAACAUCACCUCCCUUUACCCUUGCUUAUGCUGCUGCCAUAGUGGCCCCACACCCUUGGGCUCCACCUCUGACAGCAAGGCCCGACCCCGGCGACCAUCCCCGUCGGUCGCCGCCGCCCCCGAGCGCCGCCAUCGCCGCCCUGCCAUGUUGCGGCCAGCUAGGCCGAGCUCAGGCCGAGCUGGGUUGCAACAGCUGCCCACGUGCCACAGCCGCCAGGGGCCGCUGCUGCCGCCUUCCCCUGAGCCCCGGUGACCUCCUCCGCCGGCCAUAGCCCUCCCCGCGCGCCGCCGCGGCCACCCUGACAAACUGCGACCAAGGCAAGCGAGCUCGGACCGAGGCAACUCCAGAUCUUAGCCCGUGCGUUGCCACCGUCCAGGAUCGGCCGUGCCACCUCCCUCCGGCCUCCGAAGACCCUUCUCCAUCGCCCGGAGCUCCCCCAGCUGUCGCCGUGGCCGCCGCUGCUCCCUGUGCCCGAGCUUGGCUCAUGCGUGCUCGGCUUGCUCUGCCACCGCCGCCUUCCGCCGCCGGCCAGCGUGAGCGCCGGCUCUGCCUGGCCGGCCACACCCGGCCACUGCCGACGCCCCGGUGCCGGUGCUCCCUGUUGGGAGGGCUGGACCCAUGCUCUCCACGGGUUAGUGGGGCUAGGGCAUCAGUGCCCGUCGUCCCCGCCGCCUUCCAACGCCGGCCGACGCGCGCCCCGGCCUCCCUCAGUUGCCCACACCUGCCUGCCGCCGGAAUGCCCGCCUCCUGGCUGCGCUGGCCGUGCCCGAGCUCCCCAUGGUCCGGUAAGCUAAUUUCAGCUGUUUGGUUACUGUUACGGGGUUGGUUGCACUAUUCUGAUGAUCCGAGUUCACCCCGACGCCUCUGGAAGUGAGCACGGUGAUCUUUGUUCAGUGCUGAUCACAGUGCUCACCUCAUUUGGGGUCAACGAGCCUCGGAUUACAGAAUUAGACGUGUUUUAGUUUCAGUGCGCGCAGUUCGCAGAUUUUCGUGUCGCUCCCACGCUCUCCACAGUGGUCGGCCAUGCUCCAAAGUGUGAGCACAGCCUGCGGCAUGCCGAAACCUGUCAGCGGAUGUCUCGGCUUGACUGAAUGAUCAUCGGUUGCGCUGUCGAGCCAUAAAAUCCCGAAAAUCGCAUAAAAUAAUGUGAUUUCAUGUAAUCGGGGGAGUUUUUAUGCAUUUGUGCUUAGUGUGAUUGCUGUUGGCAGUGUGUGUGGGUAGCGGGUGGCCUCUGGACUGAUUGUCCAAUGCCCCAGGCCCUUGCGGAGAUUGGAAAUUGAUUUUCAGUGCGUUCGUCGGCAAAAAUCCGCCGACGGAACGUGUUUUCGGUUCGGAAUUAUUCCGACGGUGCCUUGUGACAUUUUAUGUCAUCGCUGAGCCUUGUUGGCAGGUCACCCACGUCGUUUCGAGGGUUCAGAAAUGACGGGUGAGCAACGGUGGGUUCCGGUGUCGAAUUGGACACUUCCGGGAACCCGAAUUGGAAUAAUUAUCCGACGAUAAUCGUUUCGAUGUGAAUUAGUGUGGUUACUGCCAAAUCCCAUGAAUAAUGGUGUUUAGUGGCAGCGGGUGACUCGUAGCACUAGUCGGUGCGUUCCUGGAUAGUUCGUGGGUCCCGGCGGAGUCCCGGUGCGAUUUUCGGGACUUCCGGCGAGUUACGGUAAUCGAUUUCGAAAAACCGAUAUCUGUGGGCUUGUUUGUGGGGUUGUGGAUUUAGUGUUUAUUAUUUGUGGGUUAGACACUAACCCAGUGGAGCCUCCUUAGGUCCGGUUGACGUUCUUUCGCAGUCAGGAGGCAGGCGCAACAUUUGUACAGGUGGGUACUUCCAUCCGAAGUCGGUACAGUGGUGUACGCUCGGUGAUAUCUUCUUACCCUUGUUCUCUCGUUGUUAUCUUGCAUAUAUAUCUUUAUAUAUAGUGUUGAGCCUAGCACCCUUGUUGUUCUCAUUAUACUCUACUCGGUUGUUUUUCAUAUCUAGUAUCAUGAGUAGGAGUAAAGCAGAAUUAUGAUUGCAUGUGAGAUCAGUGACCUACUUUGUCGGUUUUGGUAUUCCGUAUCCGUGACCUUUUCGGUCGGUUUCUUGACUUAUGUCAUUCGAUGACCUUUGAGGUCGGUAUACCCUGCGGGGUGGGAUUGUCGGCUAGUUGCCGACAGAUGAUUAUAGUUUACUCAGAUCUACUAUUUGAUACUCUUGUGACCUAUUGGUCGGUUCUUGCGUAUACAUUUAGUUGACAGUGAGCAGUACAUGCGCACUUUUGGGAGGAUGUUGAGUUCUUCCAUCCUAGUUGACCUGAGUGGUCGAUUCUUGUGCUUCCUUACAGUUUGAUGACCUAUUGGUCAAUUUGCCCCGAGGGGCGGUGAUUGUCGGGUGGUUGCCAACGAUUGGUCAUUGAGCAUAUCAACAUCGAUCGCCUGAGACUCAUUCGCAUUUCACGAACACCAGCAGUCUGAUCCACCGCGACUAGGUGUUUUUUUCCAUAAAAGUGGUUGGGCGUGCCAACCCGUGAGCCCAGCGGUCAGAACUGGGUUAUAUGCAGGUAGAGUGGCAGUGGGCUUUUGCCUGAGGUCCUUAGACCGACACGGCGGUUUAGAUUGGGUACUUUUUGAGGAUCAAAAUGGCAACCUAAGAGGGGGGGUGAAUUAGGUUUCUAAAAUAAAAAUCCAAAUAAUAAAGCAAAUUAAAAAUCCGAUGCAAGUAAAAGUGAGGAGUUUAAAGAAAUGCAAACUCGAAAAGUACACAAUCGAUUUGUUUCGAAGUUCGGCACUUUGACUACGUCCCCGCCAACUUCUCAAUACUAGAGAAUGUUGAAUCUCCACUAGAUGAUGCUUUUGCGGGCAAGCACCAAGCCUUCACACCAACUCCUUCUUCUUCUCAAGCUUCAAGACUUUGAUUUUCUCUCUUUUUACAAAAUUAAAUCUCACUACAAAUUUCACUCAAGUAUAAAGAGAGAAUUGAGAGCUAAGAGUAUUAGAGACACUGAAUUUUUAAGCUUAAAAUGAACUAUCUAGUUGCUGCUGAGAAAGGCAUCAAUACCAUCUAUUUAUAGCCUCGGGCAGCUUUUGUCCGUUGUACUUUCGGGCGCCCUAAACCUGUUUUCGGGCGCCCAGAAGUUGUGCACGCCAGCUGCCUGUCAGACCACGUGCGCCGCUUUUCUUGACUUUGUAUGUUCGGGCCGUCAAAAGUUGUGGGCACCCAGAACACGAAGAACAGCUUUUCUGACACGUGCCGCUUCCUCUAGAUUUGGGCCGUCAGAAAUUGUGAGCACCCAGAUCUCGAAGGACAACUUUUUUUGACAGCCGAAUUUUCCUGGAUUCGGGAUCAUUUUGGGCUUCUAGAAGAUGUGAGUGCCCAAAUUUUCAACGCGCGCGCCGCUUGCGUCAGAACUUUUUGGGCGUAUACGCAACCUGUCAAGUCAAACACUUUCGGUCGCCCUAAACUGAAAUUCGGGCAACCAGAUCCGAUAAAGAAGUUUCUGGACCACCCGAACAGUAAACAGGCAGGAUCCAAAAAGUCUCAUGAGAUCUGUCACAACCCACGGCCACCCGCCUAUUUGGCCGGGUCGCGGCGCCACCGACAGACCGCCGAACGGACAGGGUUUUUCCUGUACCGCGGACAGAGUCUCCCCUGUAUAUUCAAGGCGUCGCAAUCAAUACAAUGUACGAAGUUCCAACCAGGAACACAUUUCAAACAAAGAUUGCAUAAGGAAGUAUCAGAAACAUAAUCUACUUGUUAUUACAAGCAUUCACAUUCACUAGAUAUAUUUUACAUUACAAUUUUAUUUUACAUUUAACUUCCAAAUACAAUCAUACUUUUAUUACAAAUUAUUACAAUCUUACUCCUUUCAUUUUCUUACAUCCCUAAGUAAAGCCGACUCAGGGUACUGCUAUCUCUGGUCUCGGUGGUAGGGCUCUAACUAUGGAGCUACGCCCUCGCCUCGCGCCGCCGCGCCGCUCACAUGUAUACUUGUAACACCCCAAAAUAAUGUGGGGUGAGAACCAACUCCAUGGUUCCCAGUGGGUGCGGCCACCCAAGGAAAAAGCUCGACCAAUAGGUGUAACACACUGGACCUUUGCAAAUUGCGAGGUUCGAGUAAUUGGAUGUGUUCUGAGUUUUUCCAGACUUUCUGGUGGAUCGUAGACAGUGUUCCGACCUAUGGUUCGAACCCCGAGGAUUGAGGUCUGAAGCCUAGCACCAAAACCCGAAAAAACAGAUUUUGGUUAGCUCUCGGGUAGCCUUCAUUGGGCUGUGUACCGGUGCAGGGUUGAUGGCUGUACCGGUACAGGGUUGAUGGUUGUAUCGAUAUGGGAUUGUGUACCGGUACACAGGCAGCUUCCCAGCCAACCCGAGGCUCGGGUUUGGCAUUUUCGUGGGAUGUGUACCGGUACGUGGGCCCGUGUACCGAUACGAAGUGGCAGUUUUUGAGCAGUUUGAACUGCAGAGGGGGUUUUCGCAAUUGUGGUCUUCUAUAUAGCACCCCACGCUCCUUGGGGCUUUCCCUAAGCUGAGGAAGGAGGAGAAGGAGGUAAGAGAGCCCUCCUUACCAUUUCUUUGGAUUUAUACCCCUUUUUGUUGGGAUUUUGGUGGAUUUACUCCUCUUUUUGCCUUUUGAAGCCUUUUCUACCAUUGUUGAAGCUUGGAGCUUGGUUUUAGUGCAUGGUUGAGGGAAGAUUUUUGGACUUAGAGAAUUUAGAGCUUGGAUUGAUGCUUCUAAGAGGUAAUUUACUUGUUCUCUCCCUCUAGAAUUGAGUUUUAUUGUUGGAUUUGAGAUAAAACCCUAGAACGAAGACUUAGGGUUUGAUUUCGGCAUUUUUGAUCUAGGGCCUUUGGAGCUAAAUUAAUUGGAUUAGAACCCUCCUUUGGGUUGGAUUUUAAGGGAUUUAGCUCUCUUUUGGAGCUUGGGAAAGAUUUUCUACUCCAUAGGUGAGAUUUUAGCCCUUUUGCCUUGAUGGUUAAUGUUUGAUCUUAUCGUUGAUCGUAAUGCCCAUGUAUCUCUUCGCUCCUUACUUUUAGAAUACUUAGAGACUCGUGGACAACUCCGUUCGGCGAAACGAAGGACUACGCGAUGGUUCGGUGGGUUUGACCUAGCUACACAAUGAGAAAAUCUCAUUUGUGAUGAUUUGAGUAUCGUUAAAUGAUAAAGCAUGCAUAAUCAUGUUAUAUAUAUUUAUUAUGAAUUUUAGAAUGCUUAACAUGCCUAUGUAAUGUAUAGUAAAUGUUUAGAUCUCUAUGUGAUAGAGUGCAUGCAUGUAAGAUAUAGCAUUCUAGUUGAGACUUGGAACCAUGAUUCCUAUUAUGAAAAUGAACAUUACUUUCAUGCAUUUAACCUUCAUGCCCAAUAGUGAAAUUAGGGAUUUUGGAAGCCUAGAGAGGCUUGGGGACUUAGACUAUUUGAGAAUUUGGGCCAAUGUCAUAAAGAGGCAUUGGGCAAGAGAGAGGAUGGUCAGGCGGUGUGCGGGUCUGUGCACUACCGGAUAUGCUUCCGCUGGUACCGCGCGUGACACUUAGAUGUGAGAUUAACGCCACAAUUCCAAAAGCUUAUCACAAUGUGAACGCCGCGACGAAAGCACGCCCGGCUCCAACGGGCGCACGAAAGCUCGAUCCUCGCUCCCAACCCGUUCGCUAAGGCAUCUUCUCGCCAACACCGUCCGCGAAUUUGAGCGAGAGAUAUUAAAGAGAUGAUAGAUAAAUCGAGAGAGGAGAAAAAGGGUUUCUCUCCCCUCCUUCUCCAUGCGUGCGUGGGUGUGUGGCGUGUGUGGUCGUCUGAGAAGAAGAAGCAAAAGGCUUCUUUUAUACAUUACACCCCAAAACACUAUUUCACCUUCGGGCAGUUCGAAAUCUAUAUCUUUUGCCGGAACUCCCUGAACAUUCCGUUUGUAGCUCAAAGUUGAUAGUCAUGUCCGUUUUACUUAACGAGUCCAAAGAAUUUUAAAUAUGUUUCAAUUUCGACCCGUUUGGUCCACCGAAAGUUACAGGAACUGUAAUCUUUAUCAGAUAGUCUCCGGAUUUUAUUUUCACCUUUCGGGUGGGUCAGAAUAAUAGUGAAACUUUAAAUCUUAGCCUCAUAAAAAUAAUUUCCUGGCUUAUCCCUCCAGUUUUCAUAAUUUCUGACACUCAUACAUUUUCUGUAAUUUAUCUGUCCCGUUUCCAAACAAAAAAUUCCUAAUCCUUACUUGUUUUCAUUCUGAUUUCAGCACAAGUCAUUUCUGACUUAUGUUUUAACAUUUUCUAAAUCCAUAAAAAUAUGCUCUCACAGUAUUUUAUUUAUUUUUAUUUUUAUACCAAAAUCUGGUAUGUUACAUUCAGAUCCCCACACCUUUAGGGCGCCAGAAACAGGGUCCGAAAAAUCCAAAUAACUUGACAGAACACAGAAUUUGAGCAGUUUUGAAUAUUUAAAAAGUUCUAAUGCACCUAAAUCAUAAGUUGAAAUUUGUUUAAGUGAAUCUAUAAGGUAAUUAAGAUGAACUAGUUUAAACUUAUCUUAAAAUUCUUAACUCUAAUCAUAAAAGCAUCAAAUUAAGAAUAGCAAAGAGUGAGUUUGUUUUUUACAAAGGAAAGGCGAGGUAUAGCUUCUAGUGUGAGCCUCGGUGCUAGAAAGAUUGCCCAUCUUGAGUCCUUUUUGAAGAUAGAGAGAUCGUAAAAAUAAACACUCAAGAUAAAGAGAUUAUCCAAUAAAUGUAAUUAUUUGGUCUAUCAUCAAAAUCUAAUAAAAGAUUAGGCCACUAGGCCAACACUCUUUGGACACUUUCCGGUGACACAUAUACUAUAGUAGCGGUUUUGUUCCAUGUAUACUUACAGUUAUUCUUUUAGAGUUUGUCUGCCUACCUAUAGUUUUUGAUAUCCAUGUAUCGGCAUUCAGUCCUUCGUUACCAGAGUAGCGGUAGUUGUGUGUUCUGUAUGUUCUACCUUCUUUCAUUUAUUAGCAUUGGUAUUAUUAUAUCUGUUCAUUGCCUUGAUUAUCUCUUCUUAAUCCGGUGAGUAAUUCCUUGCCUUCGUCCGGCUUGCGUACACCACCUGGCGAAGGAGACUUUUUCACAAUUGUUCUCACCUGCCGCCCACUAUUUUCAUGGUAUGCUGGCGGUGAGGAUUGAGACGAGAUCGUGAGACACGUUCCUAGCGGUGAGUAGAGAAGCUUCCAACCUAUUUUGGUGUGGUUAGUUGCUACCCUUUUUAUUUCUGUUGUUUAUAUCUAGAUAUAUUGGUCAGUUGGUUUUUGUUCAAUUGGACUAAAGUUGAUUUUAGUAAAUGAAUUUAAAGAACUUAUGGUUUUCCUGAGAUAAAAACGAUUUUCUACCCCCUCGUGGUAGCGUAUUUAAAGAAAAAGAGUUUCCUGUGGGGAAAUCGGGUUGUGAAAUGAAUUUUAUUGGUUUUUAUGACUUUUAGUGGUUUCAAAUAAGUUUUCAAGUGGGAAACAUUUUGUAAAAUGAUCUUAUCCUGUCAACGCCCCCGAGCCCGCCUCUUUGUCGGUUUCGGCACGCCAACAAGACCGCGAACGACAGGGUUUUCCCUGUACCGGCCAGGACAAGUCAUCCCCUGUACAUUCAAGGCGUCACAACAUCCAUACAAAGCCGCGUAGGUUCCAAACAGGAAGCAAUACUCAACAACGAUUGGUAUAAGCGAAGGUAUCAAACAACAUAACAUCAUCCCUACGUUAUUGGACAGAGCAUUCCCAUUAAGAUCUUCAUUUUACAUCCACACUUGCAUUAUUAAUUUACAUCAUUUCACUCAUUCUUUACACAUACAAUACCACAAUACAAUCAAGUCUCUUUUCAAUUAACUGCAUUCUUGGUUCUUUGUGUCAUUUUUAUACCCUAAGUAGCGCCGACUCGGGACAAUACUGCUACGGUCUCGUGGUAGGCGCGCUACUACCGAGCUACCGCCCUCUGCUCGCGCCGCCGCGCGCCUCCACGGAGGGGCGUGGCGACACCUGUAACAACCCAAAAAGCAACGUGGAUGAGCAACAAACCCAUGGUUCCCCAGUGGGCUACGCCACCCAGGAAAAAAGCUCACCAUAGGUCCAAGAGGCACUCGCAAUCAAUGUUAGUCCAAAAACCAUUCUAUAGAUAGUAUAUAUAUACCGUAUAUAUACUUACUAUAUACCUAUAUAGUGCAUGUAUAUACUGUAUAAUCAUCAUAUAGUACACACCUAUAUAUAUAUUACAUAUAUAUAUACUAUAAAAUCCAUCAUGUAAUUACUGCAACUAAACAGCAUAACACUCGCUGACGAAUAUGCAAUAUGCCAAAUCAUGCGAACUCAUUGAAUACAAAUUGCAUGAUUCUACUCUUAUCCUCUUAACCAUUCUAUCCCCAUUGCAUUACACUAUCUACUAUUAUUCCUUUAGCGAGUACUGUUCUUUGAUUAGUAUCCUUAAUAUCAUAUCUUUACUCUUUAUUCCACUUUAUCUUUAUUCUUUAUCUUCAACUCAACCUUAGCCAAUAUCCAUUUUGCCAUCAAUCAAUCAUUUGAUAUUAACCAAAUUCCCAACUAUCCACUCCAACAUCGCAUUGAAACACACAAACAGUCCGCCUCAAAACAAAACAUGGGUGAGGAACAUAAUACACACAACAAAAACAGGUCUCAGCCUUAAAUCCUUCUCGACUGUAGGUCUGCAACGGGGUGAGGAAUGCCAUCAACCCUCGACCCACAAGUUUGAGCUCUACUCAAUGGCAUACGGCGAGGGAAACAACAUACCGUUAAAUCAAACUGCCGGGGAGGAGAAACCACAUACCCACAGUUAUGAUUCUCAUUAGCAUUCUCUUUACCGGCGAGGAGAACCAACAUGACCCGUCUGAAUCCCCCCCGCCUUGUCGGCGAGGAAGAAGCCAACCAUAACCCCACAGUUAUGAGCCCUGCCCUCCGAUCGCCAAGCCUUAUCCGCUGCACCCUAGGCAGCCUUCAUUCCUAGCGGAUUCCGGAAUCCACGAUUACACUACCUCAAGGGUUGGUCUCACCCCUACUAGUAAUCGACCUAUCUAGGUCCAAAGCCUUUACUCCAACCAUAAAAGUUACAUCACUUUAAGGUUCGUUGCUUUCAUACCCAUACCCUCCCAAGGUUGUUAACACUAGGUCCAUUAUCUCCUUUUCUACCGUAGGUUCACCCCCUUGACCUCAGUUCUUCUACCCUUUAUUUCAGCCAACCUAUGUUCUCUAACAUUAGGCUUUACUGGCCUUUCUCCGUUAAACCUACCUGUCAUUAACCACUAGGUUCAUUAUCACUCUUGUUCAAGCCUUAUAUCCGCUUGACCUUAGGUUCAUCCUGUCAAAUUCUGUUCAACCCUAUGUUAUUAACACUAUGUUCCAAUGCACUCGAUCUAUUGUGUUAUAUAUAUCGUCCACCNNNNNNNNNNNNNNNNNNNNNNNNNAUGCACAUGUCAUAUACUUAACAUCUUUACAUUAGGAUCUCCACAACAUGCUUAUCAUACUUUCUCUUUAGCAUUCUUAUUUCAUAUCUAUAUGCAUUCUUACAUUAACAUUUCUACGCGUGCAACAUGACUAACAUAUGUCAUUUACUUUAUGCUUUCCACUUAACAUUAUUCACACUAUGUCAUUAUGCAUUACUUAGCAUUCUCGCACUACGACCAUAUGCAUUGUUGGGUAGCCCACAUCAUAUCCUUUUCAUGCAUUUAUACAUUCUAUCAUUAGCUACCAUUACAUGCAUCAACAUGAAACCAUCACUCUUAGACAUAGAGGCGACCUAGUCGCUUCGGUAAACACAACCCACCUUAAAUUGCUCUCCGAUUGCUUGUAAUCACUUGCAAUCGGCCUCCCGCGGCACCCGUGACCCGGUUUGGCCCGAACUCUUGCGCGACCACCUGAACAGUCACCAAUCCGCGAUCCGUCUGCUCUGGAGUUUAAUCCUCGAUACCGUGAUGCUCCAGAUCCGUUUUCGUGAUUUUUAGACGUUUAUUCCGCGUGCUGCGGCUAUCUGUACCAAAACUGAUUGUUUCGUCAAUAACUUUGCGUACACUCGUCGAAUCGUCGAACCGAGUGUUCCAUCGCGUUCGUUUGGUCCCCAAUUAGGUUUACAAAGGAUCAAUUGAGAUCAAACCCAACUAUUUACAAAAACCCUCUUUUGGAGCCCUAAUACCUCACUAUUGCAAUUAGCUUCAUACAAGCCAUUAAUCUUGCAAUAAAUGAGAUCAAUUACUUCUAAAGCAUCAUUAAACAUCAUCUAGCUAAGCUCAAAGAGGUCUAAAUCAUGCCCUAGCCAUUCACCAUGAGAGGCUCAAAGAGCUUACCUCAACUAGCUAGGAAGAAGAUGGAGAAGGGGAUGAUGGUCCUUCUCUUGAUCCUCCUCUCCUUCUUCUCCUUCUUUUUCUUCUCUUUCUUUCUCUUCUUCUCCUUCUUUUCUUUCUAGAGAGAGAGGGAGAGGUUUUGGUGUGGGAGAGUGAGAGAAAUGAGAGAAAGAGAGAAAGGAUCCUCUCUAUACACUCUCAUAAGUGCCAUUUUGCACUUAAGCCCCUCCACAAUGCUUCCCUCGCAACAGCCCAAACUGGGCAUUUUCGGGCUCAGGGACCGGUCCUUAGACUUGAGGGACCGGUCCCCGUAGGGUCCAAAAUUUCAGCAUCUAGGACUUAGCCAAAUUUUCAGCUUUUUCACCGUUUUCGCUCGUUUUCACUCGUUUGACAUCCGAUUCGUUUCAAAUCGAACCGAGACUCUCCAAACAUAUUUUCAAGCGUAUUUUCAUCAUCUUUUCAUCCACGCUAAUACCGGAUUUAGCUCAUGGUACAACAUAACCUUUCGGAUUCCGUUUUUGCACCUACGCGCACCGAAACACCCGAUUACUCCAGAACUUCACCGAACUUCACCGGGACCAUUCCAACGGCUUUCUAAGCUAACAUUCAUCGUAACUUCAUGAAUUAGAAGUUCGGUAUAUUACAAUAGACGUGGAUUUAUGGAUAAUUAUGAUGAAAUAAACGUGAUUGUGAAUGGUGUAUGAAUAUAUUUGUAUAUUCAGUUGUGGUGGUUGUAUCCGUUAUGUAUCUUGUACUUAUGCGACGCCGUGCAAAUACAGGGGAGACUCUGUCCGUGUGAACAAUGGACUUCCUGUAUUUGUGGCGGAUCUGGCAUACCCUGGGGGUCAGGUUUUCAAAAAAAUUUGGGCGCUUCCGCAUUGCUUUUAAAUCAAAAAGGGACCCUGGAGCGUGACAAAAUGUUGUUGUUACACCUGCGAGAGUGUGUCCGUGCACUAUGCCGGCGCAGACUUGACCAAACUUAUGAGCCGGUCGUCGCGAUUAGGUACUAUUACUUCAUUUAUUUAUUAGAAUCAGCUUUGAUGCAUACUCUAGUCAAUUUAUCUCAUGUUCAUUAUAUAUGUGACUUACGAGUUGGUCAAUUUAUAAUUGAAUCACCAUAUGUUGAUUGGAUUGCAUGUGUGUGAGUGAAUGAUACCUUGUAUUUAUUAUUAGUCGUCUUCUCUCCUGUUCAUUACAUGUGUAAAGGCAUGAUAGUUUAGUAGGUGUACAUCAUUCAUAUUAUGCUUUGUUACUCGUUUUAUAGCAUUGCUUACUAUACUUUCUCUGCACUUGCCUUUAAUAAACCUAGUAGGUCAGCCGUAAUUGUCGCUGACCAAACCCACUAUAAAUUAUUUUUUAGUAGUUUUCACGCCCUCUUAUUGUUACUUCUCAAAAACAUCUACGGUGAUAGAUGAUCGAGAUAAGGGGAUCGUGUUGUAGAUAGCACCUCCAACCCAUGUAUAUGAAUUUUAGAGGACCACUAGUUAAUUGGUUUUGGGAUUGUAUACUAUACAUCUAGACGGGCAAGGCUAGGGACUUUACUUGUAUAUUUUAUUUUGGAAUAUAUGAUUGCAUAUUUGUAUGAAUAGUAAUAGUUAUUUAGUUUAAUUCAACAUAUAUCGCUUUGAUACUUUGUGUUUAGUUGUGGACUCUGAAAUUAUUAAUAUUGACUCCCCAAUUUCUUUGCUACUGCUAUAUUUUGUUGGACGCUUCAUGUGGGGACGGCAAACCUCUGUCCGUUUGACGAAUCUGUGCACGUGCCCCGAUAGCAUCCGCUGUGGGCUCGGGACGUUACACUCCUCGCCCGAGGAAAGAGAGCCCCAAAUCUCCUUUCUAGCGCAUGAGGCUUUCAGGAGUAGGAAUUAAAUUAAAAUUUAGGGUAAAUUCGUAAGGAAAAGUUUAUGCAAAGCAGUAAAUAAUAAUUUCCUCUCAUACCUGAGUACGCUACAGAGAUAUUGAUGAUGGAUAUUCAAAAUUCCAAAUUCAAAACCUAAUUACUUUAUUUAUUAUUAACUGUGUAUACGUCGUCGUCUGUUUGAUUACCAAGCAACCUGAAUAAGGAUCCACCACGAGAAUACUGCAUCCUUAGGCCUUGUUCCGUUUCGUUGCAUUUUUUUUUAACUUUUUAGAACACAAAAUUCUAUGUAAUUGAAUACGCAUGCAAAUAGGUUUGCACACGCAUGCAAAUAGGUUUGCACACGCAUGCAAAUAGGCUUGUUUCUGGUUGUCCUGAUGCCAUUAAUUUGCAAUGCACCCUCGCAGGCGAUGGGGGAUAACAAGUUCUUCAAAUAAUAAUAAAAAAUAAAAAAAAAAAAGCAAGAAAAAGACUAACUAUCAAAUCGUUAUCUUUUUGUUGUCACACAAAACACUUUGGAUGGAAGGAUUCUAAACAAUCAGCCAUCCACUCGUGCACCCACGCANGCCAUCCACUCGUGCACACUUCCACGUAAAAGAAAUUCUGUUUAGAAAAACAAAAACAAAAAAAAAAAAAACAGCACCAAUUCCCAAUAAGGCCUCGAGUAGCAGGAAAUCCAAAAGGCCAAAAACAAAAAACAAAAAAAAACAAAAAAAAAAACAAAAACAAAAACAGAGGCCCAUACCGAUUUCAGAAUAAAACUACAAAAAAAAAAAAAGGCUAGCAUUGACAUCUCACUCUGUAAACACGUAAACCGGACCCAGAACUUGCAGGACAACGCAGCACAAUUCCAUCACAUAACUUACAGAUCUACUUACAGGAGGGUAAGAUUAGUGUGAAACUCUAGCUUUAGCUGCCACAGUUCAAUCCUGAAAUACUGGCGAAGAAGUAUAAACUCACAGUAUCUUUCAAUCACUCUCAUCUUCAACAUCUGCAAAAUAGCAUCCAACAGAACAGUAUAAUUAUCAAAAAGGACUAAAGGCAUAAAGACAAUAAGCAUCUCAACCCCGAAGAGGAGGAAACAUGCAUUUGUUGAUUCUAGGAUAGGACAUGAAACCAAGAGAGUUGGACUGCACAAUUUCUGUCAACUCUUAUGUAAUUUUGCUAAGGCAACAAGUUGCAGAUCAACAAGAUCUCAGCAUUGAACAUCAUUACAUACUGAAAUGUUUAAAUUACCUGUAGCUAAUGCUUAAGAAGUACAGGAACUUCACAAAACUUCUCGCACAAGGGUUCUUACUUGGCAUAUACUAUGAUACAAUUAAUUAUAUGGAGUAUUUGAUCAGAAGCCACAGCGUAUGUUUCACACAGAGGUGAUCACUCAGUUUGGCAGGUUGUGCUUGAGCUCGAAAUCAAGGCUUAGUUAAAAUUUACCAUGUCCAAACACACAUGCUUUCAUGCUUUGAUAGAUCCGGAAAAAACUGAAAAAUUCGAAAGCAUUUGGAGCUCUCCUCACCCAGUUGCCAUAACAUGGUGGUGAGAACUCAUACCAAAAAAGCAAAUAGAUUGUUUGAACACGUAAGCAACCUUCGAUUUUUCACAGAAAUCAUCUAUUCAGUAAGCAUGUCCAGUCAUUUUGAGGCUGGACGGGUUUAUGUCAACUUGAUUUUGAGUUUCUCUAAGUGCUUUUGGGUUGUACUCAGGAUAUGUUACAAUGUCAAGAUAUACCUAGACUUGGGCAAACAACAGGCCUUAGCUAGGUUCAAGCCUGUCCACGCUUGGCCCUGCUAAGACUUUCUGUACCUAUUUCGGGGUGUGCUCGACCCUAAAACAGCCAAUUCGAGCUUAAUUAGGCUGUGUACGAACUCUGAUUGGGCUGGGUCAACCAAAAGAAACUGAAAACCUCAACACAUUCAUCAAGCCUCUAAUUUCAAAAGGACCCAACCCAACCCAGGGAGUCAGACUGUUCUGAGCUUAAGCUACAAGUCGUGCCGAAUUUGCCCAAGUUUAUUGCCUCCCCUAUUUUACAACAAUGCUGGUAUACAUGUUGGUCAUAUUUGCAAUAAUUUGAUAUAGAGGCAAGACAUCUGUUAUUUUCAUGAGAUUUUUUAUUUUUCUUCAACAUAUUUUGGUUAUGAAGAUUAAAAUAAAGGCUAACUUACGAAAAAUCCCAUUUGCACUUUAACCCGCAUCUCAAUCACCCCCUUAGGUAAAAAAUUGCAUUAAUUUACACCCUACACUUUAACAUUGUCUCAAUUAGGCCCCCACACAUUUGGGUCAAUUCUUGAAUUAAUUGUGAAACUUUACUCAAAUUGUUUUGGCAAAUAACGUCGAUCUUAUAUUUGAACAUACAUCUAACUUUCAACUCAUAUUAUAGAUCAAAAAUUAAAGAAAAAGAUCUUUCUUUUUUUACUACAACUGAAAGAAGGGCAAAAGAGUAUAGCCCUCUAGGCUGUAUUGAUGAGAAUAAAUAAUAUACAAAUCAACCUAUCAUAGUAAUAAUACAACCAGAGAUACCAUAUAGACCUAUACUAUAUAAGGCAAUAAAUAAUAUAAUAUUAAAUAUAUCCUAUCGUACUAAAUAUAUCCUAUCAUACUAAAUAUAUCGUAACAUUGCCCCGCAAGCUAAGCAUCCAUUGGUCGGAUGCAAAAAUUGGUCUGCAGCAUGGAGAAUUGAGAAGGGGACAAGGGUUUGGUGAAGAUGUCAACAAGUUGCUUAUCAGAAGAUACAUAGACUAAGUCCAAGUCACCGGAUUGGACUUUUUCGUGUAAGAAUUUAUAAUCAAGCUCAAUAUGCUUUGUACAAGCGUCAAGAACAAGAUUGGCAGCAAGAUAUGUGGUGCUAAGGUUAUCACAAUGGAUACAAAUAGAACGCCAUAAGGAAACACCAAGAUCACGAAGCAGACUUACGGAUCCAAAUUGUCUCAAAAAGCAUGUAAGCCACAACGCGAUACUCCGCUUCAGAAUUAGAACGAGAAAUAGUAGGUUGUUUCUUAGCCGACAAACAAGAUAAGAUUAGGCCCAACAAAUAUGCAAUACCCUAAAAUAGACCAACGUGUAUCCGAACAACCGGCCCAAUCAAGAAUCUAAAAAGGCGACAAGCGAAGGAUUGAUAGCGUGAGUGAUAGAAAUGCCAUAGGAGAGCGUGCCCUGAAUAUAACAGAGAAGACAUUUAAUUGCUUGCAUGUGUGGCUCACGAGGUGCAUGAAGAUAUUAAGCAACCAAAUUGACAGCAUACGAAAUAUUGGGUCCUGUGAAGGAAAGAUAUUACAAAGCACCAACCAUCUGAUGAUAGGUGUAAGGAUCUUCAAGGAGACACCCCUCAUGAGACGGGAGACGAGUAGUCGGAAAGAGAGAAGUGGAAAUAGGUUUACUAUCAAGAAACCCAUGACGCACAAACAGUUGAUGUGCAUAUUUUUGUUCAGUCAGAAAAAAGACCAGAAGAAGAGCAGUUAACCUCAAUAGCAUAUAGUGGACCUAAGUCCAUUGCAAAUUCCGGUUGCAAGGUGCCUAUAAGAGGUUCCAAAAGAAAGGACGAGCUUCCAAUGACAAUAAUAUCAUCGACAUAUAAAAGAAAAAUAAGAGUGCCAAAAAAGGAGUGACAAAUAAAUAUCGAGGGAUCAACGGUGUUUCCAAUGAAACCUAGUUUAGAAAGAAAUGAAGUAAACUGUUGAAACCAAGCUGAGGCGCCUGCUUGACACUAUAGAUCGCUUCGCGUAGACGGCAAACAUGAUAAGGAAAAGAAGGGUGGACAAAACUCGGUGGUUGUCGCUAGGGGUGGAAACGAGCCGAGCUCGAGCGAGCUUAUGUCAGCUCAAAUUCGNUUAGACUUACCCUUUCUUUGGGGCCUAGUGGUGCAUUGAGCUGAGGUCAGUAAUUGCCCACUGGAAACUAUAAAUUAUAGUUCUCACGCCCUCUGUUUUAUGUUUUCUUUCAGAACCUUCAACGCCGGGAGAGGCUAGGGAUCGUGGGAAGGGCGUUGUUUCGAGCUAACUUUUCAGCGAGUGACGAGUUGAUAGGUGGUCUACCUCUCGAUGUUUAUAUUUUGAAGAGGUUGAGAGCUGUACCAGUGUAUUAGAGACCAUCCUUGUAAUAUACCGAAAAUUCGGAAAAUAAAUGUCGAACUUUACCGAAAAUUCGGAAAAUAAAUGUCGAACUUUAAUCAAAUUGACCAAAGUGCGAGGAUGGAACACUUCGGAAAGUCCGAAUGUGUUAAAAUGAUUAAAAGUGAGUUACGGGAGGUUUUCGAGAGCUAAAGUUGUGAAAUCUGCAUUCUGCAGGUUUUCAGCUCUCGGGGACCGGUCCCUGGUGGGAGAGACCGGUCCCCGAACGCGUAUGAAAUGAGACAGCCGAAAAAUCGGCUAAGUCCUGAGAAAUCAGCUCUCGGGAACCGGUCCCUACCCGAGAGACCGGUCCCUCGAGAGACCGGUCCCACAAAGAGAGACCGGUUGCACUGCGCGCAGCAGCUCUGGCUGCGCUGCGACGACGUUCGGGAACCGGUCCCUAAAGGAGAGACCGGUCCCUGCCUGCGCGAACUGCCCAGUUCGGGCAGUGUAUUAAAGUGAAAGUUGAGGGGUUUUAUUGCAUUUUUGCAACCCAUUGAGCUAUGUUAGUGGGUUGAGGGGCUUUUCCUCUCAUUUUCACCCUCUCAAACACUCUCUCCUCUCCCUCUCUCUCUCUAGAAGACAAAGGAGAAGAAGAAGAAAGGAGGAAAAGAAGGAAAAGAAGAGGAAGAAAGUGAAGAAGAAGACAAGGAUAAGAAGAAAACCUCUCCUCUCCUUCCUAGUGCAAGAAAGGAGCAAGCUUUGAGGUAAGCUUUGCCCUUUUUCAUGUUAACUCCCAAACUAGGGUUUUGGAAAACCUAGAAAUGAUUUUUAUGGAGCUUUUGGAGUAUUGGAAGCUUUUCUUUUGCUUCUUUUGAGAUCAAGGCCAUGGAAAUGGUGAAGCUUGAGGUGAGCUUCAUNNNNNNNNNNNNNNNNNNNNNNNNNNNNNNNNNNNNNNNNNNNNNNNNNNNNNNNNNNNNNNNNNNNNNNNNNNNNNNNNNNNNNNNNNNNNNNNNNNNNNNNNNNNNNNNNNNNNNNNNNNNNNNNNNNNNNNNNNNNNNNNNNNNNNNNNNNNNNNNNNNNNNNNNNNNNNNNNNNNNNNNNNNNNNNNNNNNNNNNNNNNNNNNNNNNNNNNNNNNNNNNNNNNNNNNNNNNNNNNNNNNNNNNNNNNNNNNNNNNNNNNNNNNNNNNNNNNNNNNNNNNNNNNNNNNNNNNNNNNNNNNNNNNNNNNNNNNNNNNNNNNNNNNNNNNNNNNNNNNNNNNNNNNNNNNNNNNNNNNNNNNNNNNNNNNNNNNNNNNNNNNNNNNNNNNNNNNNNNNNNNNNNNNNNNNNNNNNNNNNNNNNNNNNNNNNNNNNNNNNNNNNNNNNNNNNNNNNNNNNNNNNNNNNNNNNNNNNNNNNNNNNNNNNNNNNNNNNNNNNNNNNNNNNNNNNNNNNNNNNNNNNNNNNNNNNNNNNNNNNNNNNNNNNNNNNNNNNNNNNNNNNNNNNNNNNNNNNNNNNNNNNNNNNNNNNNNNNNNNNNNNNNNNNNNNNNNNNNNNNNNNNNNNNNNNNNNNNNNNNNNNNNNNNNNNNNNNNNNNNNNNNNNNNNNNNNNNNNNNNNNNNNNNNNNNNNNNNNNNNNNNNNNNNNNNNNNNNNNNNNNNNNNNNNNNNNNNNNNNNNNNNNNNNNNNNNNNNNNNNNNNNNNNNNNNNNNNNNNNNNNNNNNNNNNNNNNNNNNNNNNNNNNNNNNNNNNNNNNNNNNNNNNNNNNNNNNNNNNNNNNNNNNNNNNNNNNNNNNNNNNNNNNNNNNNNNNNNNNNNNNNNNNNNNNNNNNNNNNNNNNNNNNNNNNNNNNNNNNNNNNNNNNNNNNNNNNNNNNNNNNNNNNNNNNNNNNNNNNNNNNNNNNNNNNNNNNNNNNNNNNNNNNNNNNNNNNNNNNNNNNNNNNNNNNNNNNNNNNNNNNNNNNNNNNNNNNNNNNNNNNNNNNNNNNNNNNNNNNNNNNNNNNNNNNNNNNNNNNNNNNNNNNNNNNNNNNNNNNNNNNNNNNNNNNNNNNNNNNNNNNNNNNNNNNNNNNNNNNNNNNNNNNNNNNNNNNNNNNNNNNNNNNNNNNNNNNNNNNNNNNNNNNNNNNNNNNNNNNNNNNNNNNNNNNNNNNNNNNNNNNNNNNNNNNNNNNNNNNNNNNNNNNNNNNNNNNNNNNNNNNNNNNNNNNNNNNNNNNNNNNNNNNNNNNNNNNNNNNNNNNNNNNNNNNNNNNNNNNNNNNNNNNNNNNNNNNNNNNNNNNNNNNNNNNNNNNNNNNNNNNNNNNNNNNNNNNNNNNNNNNNNNNNNNNNNNNNNNNNNNNNNNNNNNNNNNNNNNNNNNNNNNNNNNNNNNNNNNNNNNNNNNNNNNNNNNNNNNNNNNNNNNNNNNNNNNGAGUUGCUUCUUUUCAGGAAGCAAUGGCACCUCGACGUCGAUCGCAGACAAGGUCGAUGCCGGAGGAAACGAAUGCGGUGCCCGAGCAAUCCGGAGCGAGUGGCGACGGAGAGCUUAGGGAACAAAUGGCCGCGCUUAUUGGCGUAGUGCGGCAACAAGCGGAGUCUGUUCAACGCCAAGGGGAACAGAUUCAUCGGCUCCAGGAGACCUUGGAGCGCCAGCAGGCGGCGGCGACCCAGGCGGGUGUCGAGCAUGUCGCGCCCCCUGUGGUAGUGCCGAGUGUUGUUGAGGGAGCGGCGGCAGCAGCCGCUGUUCUAGUUACGGUAGUACCGGCCGGGUCGGGAACCUCUAAUCCCGAUAGCGCGACAGUGGAUGCGGAGCUAGAGCGCACUUUGGCGGCUCUCAUUCAAUUCAAGAAGUUCGACCCACCUAACUUCGAGGGCGGUUUGGUGGAGCCAGCGGUUGUGGAGUCGUGGAUCGACUCAAUGGAGACGCUCGUCGAGGAUCUCAAUACCUCGGAGAAGGAUAAAGUGUACCUCGCCACCCAUUGUCUUGAGGUAGCGGCAAAGGUGUGGUGGAAGCGGAUGAAGCGGGAUCGUCCUAUUGACCUUCCGCUUAUGCUNCUUGACACUAUAGAUCGCUUCGCGUAGACGGCAAACAUGAUAAGGAAAAGAAGGGUGGACAAAACUCGGUGGUUGUCGCAUAUAAACUUCCUCAGAAAGAGAGCGGUGACAAAAUGCAUUCUUCACGUUAAAUUGUCAAAGUGGCCACCUAGACGAGAAUGAAAUAGAAAGAACAGUAUGAAUAGUAGUCAGCUUGACGACCAGAGAUAAUGCCUCGUCAAAGCCAAUACCUUAUUGUUGCUUGUAGCCCUGAGCCAUAAGUCGAGCUUUGAAACGCUCAAAAGAGCCAUCGGCCUUCUGCUUGACCUAAUACACUCACUUGCAGCAAAUAAGGUUGACGAAUGAGGGAGGAACAAGAUCCCAAGUAGAGUUGACCAAUAAGGCAUCAAACUCUUCAACCAUAAUUGCAUGCCAACCUGCAUCUUGAGAAGCCUCAGCAAAAGAGUUAGGCUCGGUAGGAAGAAUAGAGAUCUUAGAAGCAAGAAAAGUGGUAGACUCAGGCAAGCAAAUCCUUCAUCAUGGAUCGGGUGAUCAUAGAGUGAGUACGGGAAGGUAAAGGGGAACUGAUAGGUGUAGUAGGUAAAGCAGAGAAUGCUAUCGGUAGGGCGGCAUCAGGUUUGAGGGGGGGUGGUGAGGGGGGGAGGUGGAGGUCCAAAUUGUGGGAGGUGCCGGACCAGUAGGAGAAGUGAUUGCAAUAGGCCAGGAUGUAUUCCGUCUGAUAUAAACCCGAAGUCCAGAUUGACCAGCAACAGAGGCAUCAUUCUCAUAGCGAACCUGUGUGACAGUAUGAUUCAAGGUGGUAGUAAAGUAUGAUAAUAACUCAGGCGGAGAAAAAGACUGAGGAAGUUCAUUGGUGGACAGAGUACUAGAAUCAUCAGCCAUAGAGAAGUGGAUGAAAUAGACCCAGAAAUUGCAUAAAUAGUAGACGGACUCUCACCCAGUACAGAAGGAUUAGAAAUAAAAUUAUGAAACAUAUGAAAAUCUGAAAUAGUAGAAACUGGUGCUGAAGAGGUGAAAAAUUUUGACAGGAAUAAGGCGACACCUUCAAUGAAAGUAACAUGUCGGAAAAUGAAAACUUUACCAGUGCUCAAAUAAAGACAACGAAUACUUUGUUGCUUAGCACAGAUUCCCAAAAAAACACAAGGAAGCGAUCGGGGAGAGAACUUGUGAUCACUGAUCAACAAUAUCCUGUAGAUCGGGAUAACACAAACAUCCAAAAACUCCGACAAGUUGCAAGUCAAAAGAAAUACAACCAUGCAAAAAAGUGUAUGGUGAUUUUCCUUUCAAAAUAGUAAGAGUACGAUUCACAAGAAAAAAAGCUAAAUAGCAUCAGUCCGAAAAAGAGGCAAGCAAGUUUUUUCAAGCAAACUUGUAACAACAUAAGUGUCUAUGCUUCCUCUCAGCUAUGCCGUUUUGUUGUGCUAUGUGGACAAGAAGAAAACCCGUGAAUAAUCUCAUUUCAUGAACAAGGAGAAGAAAAUUUUUCAUUUACAUGACCACUGUCAAAUUGGAAAAUUUUAAUUCUGUUAUGAAAGAUGUUUUCAACCAUUAAUAUAAACUCCAGAAAUUUUGCAAAAACCCCAUGCUUAAAUUUCAAAAGAUAAAGCCAAGAGUAGCUAGAGUAAUCAUUGACAAAAAUGACAUAAUAUUUAUAACCAGAAACAAAAUGAACGGGUGAUUGUCAUACAUCAAAAUAAACAAUUUGAAAAGGAAAAAGAGAGAUUAUGAAUCAUGAAAAGAAAGUUUAACAUGUUUGCCCACAUUACAAGAAUUACAAAUAGAUAAUUUAGUAGCCAAAUUAUUAUCGGAAACAACUUUAUUGUCUUUAAUAGAUUUAAAAAGAACGGGAAGACUAAGAUGACCUAACCGUCUAUACAAAUAUCUCCACUAACUAUGGAUGCAAUAAGAGCUAACUGUUGCAGAACAGGAAGACUAGGAUGACCUAACCGUCUAUCAAGGUUUAAAGUGUCGUGGCACGAAAGCGUGCCGCUCUUUCCCUGGCACGGUACAGCAUAAGCACGCUUUUGUGCCUACACGUGGUAAGCGUGCGUGCCAAUGGAUACCAUGACCUUCUACUGGCACGCUUUGGUAAGGACUUAUUUAAUUUUUUUUUGUUCCAACUAGCUCUUAUAAUAUUAUUUUGAAAGGUUUAGACAAAUAAUUAUGAAUAUUUGCUAUGUAUAGCUUACUAUACUUAUCAAUUAACAUACAUGUAAGCAUUUUGUAUAUAAAAUACAACUAUACCUAAUGUAGAAUAAAAAUUAAAAUACAAUAAUAAAAUUUCCAAGUAAAAUAAUUAUUGAUUCGAUUAGGAAGCAUAUAAUGACUAGAACAACCAGAAUAAAACCGCAAUUACAUCUAUAUUUUUUUCUUUUUUAUUCUUUAAAAAAUAUCUAAUUAAAAUUUAUUUAAGAGAUCGAUUUUUGUUUCCUUGAUUCACCGAAAGCUUCGUGGUGCGAUAAAUUUUGAUAAAAUAAUGGGUUAAUUACACCAAUGGUCCCUAACCUUCACACUAUUUUUCAAUUUGGUCCCCAACUUUUUUUUUUUGCAAUCAAGUCUCUAACCUCUUGAUUUCAUUUCAAUUAAGUUCCAGCCGUUAGAUAGCUGUUAAAAUUGACGAAAAAUGCCACGUCAGCACCCUGUCAGUGCCGCGAAGGCGCCAUGUCAGCGCCGCGGAGGCGUCGUGUCAGCGCCAAGGUGACGCUGUGUCAGCGGAUUGCAAAAAAAAAAAAGUUGGGGACCAAAUUGCAAAACGGUGCAAAGGUUGAGGACCAAUGGUGUAAUUAACCCAUUAAAUUUAUGAAUUCAAAAAAAAAUUUAAUUUAAGAUUUAAAUUUUAAAUUUAAAUUUUGAUUUUGGAUUCAAAUUUCAAUUGGAAUUCAAAUUGCGAUUUUGUAUAUAAUUUUUAAUUUUUAAUUUUUAAUUUUAAAUUCAAAUUCACAUUUGGAAUUCUAAAUUCUAAUUUAAUUUCAAACUUCGAUUUGAAAUUUCAAAUUCAAAAUGUGAAUUUGAAUUCGAAGUUUAAAUUCAAAUUUAGAAUUGAAAUCCAAUCUUAAAUUCAAAUUUAAAUUUUGAAUUCAAAUUUAAAAUUUAAAAUUUAAAUUUUUUGAAUAUGAUUUUAAAUUUAAUUUCAGAUUUUAAAUUUAAAUUUCAGUUUCAAAACUUUCAUUUUAAAUGUAAAUUGAAAUAUCAAAAUCCAAAUCAAAAUUUUAAAUUUUAAUUCAAAAUUUAGAUUCAAUUAAAAAUUUAAAUUUAAAAUUUGACUUUCAAUUCAAAAUUUUAAUUCAGCUUUAAAUUCAAAUUCAAAAUUCUAAUUUCUCAUUAGUUUAAAAUUUUAAUUUUAAAAUUAUUUUUGAAUUUAAAUUUAAAAUUUUGAAUUUUUAUUUUUAGAGACAAAUGAAAAACGUGCAAAGUUUAGGGACCUAAAUUGACAUGCAAAAGGUUGCCAAAUAGACGCUGACGUGGCGAUUCCGUUAAUUUUAACAGUUUUUUUAACGGUUAGGGACGUAAUUGUAAUAAAAUCAAGAGAUUAGGGACUCAAUUGCAAAAAAAAAGUUGGGGAAUCAAGUGAAAAUUGGUGCGAAGGUUGGGGACUACCGGUGUAAUUAAUUCUAAAAUAAUUUGCGAAGAAAAAAUGGAUGUCUGUAGUAGAAGCGAAGGGCUCGGGCCGACCAAGCCCUCCGCUUCCACCAGAGACAUCCGAGCGGAGUGCGGUGGGCAAAGCCCCCCGCAGUAUGGAUCGAAUAUGUCAAUUAAAAACUUGCUCCUAUAUUGAUAAAUAAAAAAAAAGUAAAAUUAAAAAGCAAAAAAAAAGGUGAAAAAAAGACAACACUAAACCGGUGCGGAGGAGGGGGAUAUGGCAUGGUACCACAGUCAAAAAGAAAAAAAAAAGAAAAAAAAAAGUGAAAAAAAUCAAAAAAAGUAAAAAAAAUAAUAUAGCCGCGGGGGGGGGCGGGUUUGUACCCUAGAGAACAAAAGAAAAAAAGUAAAAGAAAAAAGCAAAAAAGAAAAAGCCAAAAAGCCAAAAAAAAUGUGCCGCGCGCCGGUAAUGGCGCGCGGCAUGCACUUGCGUGCCGCUUUGUCUCGCACGGCACGCACCUGCGUGCUGCGAGACUUGAGAGAGGGUGCGAGACCCCCCUGUACCCCACGAUACGUGCCGCCCCGUGUCGCACAACACAAGACGGCACAUUAAUCAUUGCUGUCUAUGUCAAAUAUCUCUACUAAAUCUAGAUAUAACAAGAGCUAAAUGUUGUUUAUUCCCUAUACUUGCAACUUUAGAAGAAGAAAUUGGAUAGAGUAAUGUUCACGAACUAUGGCAUCUGAGAAGCGUCCCCAUUUCCUUGUCUUUCAUAGAAAAACCAGACAAGUCAAAUUUGAAAGUAGAAUUAUUAUCAUGACAGAAUUUGCGAACAGAAAGUAAAUUUCUUUUAAUAGAAGGAACAAUAAGAACAUUUUUUUAGAGCAAAGGAGUUGGAGGAUGUAUUCAAUUAUCUCACUUGUCUGAGUAAUAUUCAGUAAAUUUUCAUUACCAACAAGUCGUUAUAUGAUUGGAUGUUCCAGUGUCUGCAAACCAUACAUCCUCAUCAGGCUCAUGAGGGGGAGGGGGGUUGUAACCCAGAGAACAAAAGAAAAAAGUAAAAGAAAAAAGCAAAAAGAGAAAAUGUGUGGCACGCCGAUACGUGGCACGCGGCAUGCACCUGCGUGCCGCUUUGUCUCGUGCGUGCUGCGAGAUUGGGGGGGCCUGCGAGACCCCCAUGUACCCUGCCCCCUCCUUGGGGGCAAGAUACGUGCCGCCCCGUGUCGUACGGCACACGGCGGCACAUUAAUCCUUGCCGUCUAUGUCAAAUAUCUCUACUAAAUCUAGAUGCAGCAAGAGCUAAAUGUUGUUUAUUCGCUAUACAUGCAACUCUAGAAGAAAUUGGAUAGAGUAAUGUUCACGAACUAUGGCAUUUGAGAAGCUCCGUCCCCGUUUCCUUGUCUUUCAUAGAAACACCAGAGAAGUCAAAUUUGAAAGUAUAACUAUUAUCAUGAUAGAAUUUGCGAACAGAAAGUAAAUUUCUUUUAAUAGAAAGAACAAUAAGAACGUUUUUUAAGAGCAAAGGAGUUGGAGGACGUAUUCAAUUGUCUCACUUGUCCGAGUAAUAUUCAGUAAAUUUUCAUUACCAGCAAGCCGUUAUAUGAUUGGAUGCACCAGCAUCUGCAUACCGUACAUCCUCAUCAAGCUCAUGAAAGUUUAUUACAGCGAAAGUCUGAGUAAUUUCAUCUCCAACAAAAGUAUGACUGAAGCGUUGCCUGCACUGAAGAGCACAAUGAUUGAAUUUUCACAAAUCUGACAGUGUACCAGACCAUGGAAUAUAUGGUUGUUGGUUUGAUUGAGUAUUAUUAGGCUGAGGAUAUGGACAGUUUCCAUGACAUCCGUGACUGGAGUAUGAAUUGUGUCUACCACGCUAUCCUUGGCCUCCGCGCUAUCUACCCCCAAGACCGUCACGAGUACCUCAUCCACGGUUUGCAUAAAGUGCUUCUCCAUCAAUGAUGGGAGUAGCAAAUAGUGUUGUCAAGCUGGCACGACAUUGAACUUUUGUUUCUUGCAUUAAGAGUAGGCAAAAUUGUUCAAAGGUAGGUUUUUUUGUCCAUGUAUAUUUAGAGAACCGCCAAAACCUCUAUAUUCUUUGAACAAUCCAAAAAGAAUAGUCAUGACCAAGUUAUGAUCUGACUCGGUUUCGCCAAUUGCCUGAAAAGCAUCCCCGAUUGACAUAAUUGUUUUCAUGUAUUCACUCAUACCCAUUGAUCCUUUCUUGAUACUUUGUAAUUCAGACUUUAAAAAGAAAGUCGUAGAGGUAGUUUUGUCAAGAAACUAUGCCUCAAUUUUGUAUGCAUCAUCGGCCGUUUUAGGUGAACUAGAUAUAAUAUGCUAAGAGAUAAGAGUAGCAUUAAUCCAGAAAAGUAUGGCGGUGUCUAUUUUCUUCCAAACUAAAUCUGGAUUUACAAUUAUCUUUUUGUCAGUAGUAUCAAUUGUUUGAGAAGAAAUAAUACCAGAUCCAUCCACAAGCAUAGUCAGACCAAAACUCUCUAAAACAUUGAGAACCAGUUGCUUCCACACUAGAUAUGUAAAAUCAAUGAGUUCAAAAAGUAUGAGAGUUUUAAUGUUAACAAUUGGUAGAGACAAUAUACAAGAAGACACGUUUGCCACCGAGAAAAAGAAAUACCACCACAAAGGAGGAGAAAAGAUAAGGGAUUACCAAUUUGAGAGUUUCUGAUAAGGAAAAGGAAUAGCAAAUACCACUAGAAAACCAAGCUACACUCGGAUGCUACCAAGUGUCCAGCGACAGUAGGAUAAGCCAGGCAACACCAAGGAAUUAGGGAAAAAUCACAGAGAACACAGCUGGACCACAAGCAGCACCGCAGAGACCGAGCUGCUGCAACCAACAGAAAAAGCUAUGCGGUAUUCUUGGACUACCAACGACUCAAGCGGCCCAACACAGGGGGUCUAGCGACAGCAAGCAACACCAGAGAAGCAAGGAGACUGGAGCGGCACAACACAGGUGGUCCAGCAACAACAAACAGCAUUAGAGAAGCAAGGAAAGUGAAGCAGCACAACACAGGGGUCCAAUGGCAGCAAGCAACACGAAAGAAUCAAGAACAAUGACCGAGAGCCACAAAAGAAGAGAUCACCUAUGGAUGAAUAUGAGAUAUUUGGUGGAUGGUGGUUAUGGAUCAAUAUUCCUUAGUUAGGGUUUCUGCUCUGAUACAAUGAAAGAAGGACAAAAGAGCAUAGCCCUCUAGGGUUGUAUUGUAUUGUGAGAAUAAACAGUAUACAAACCAACCUAUUAUAGUAAUAAUACAACCAGAGAAACCAUAUAGAUCUACAUUAUAUAAGGCAACAAAUAAUACGAUACUAAAUAUAUCCUAUCAUACUAAAUAUAUCAUAACAACAGCUACCAAAAUUAGUAAUUUGUUAGACAAUUUAGUUUAUAUGAUCAUACUCAGUUGGUGAUUAUUACCAUUAUCGCCAUUACUUACCAACUCGUUUUCACGGCAUUUUAUAUCCAAACAACAAUAUCAUGAAUAUUUUUGACCUAUUUGAGACAAUGGCAAAGUGCAUGAUGAAAUUUGAUUCAACUUUUCACAUAGGGAAAAAAUUGAGACGCAGGCUAAAGCACAAGAACAUUUUUUCAAUUUGGUCUAAGACCUACCGGUGCAAAUGGAUCCAGGUUGGAGUAGCUCCUACCCUGAUCCACCUUGAAUGGGGUGGUCAGUAGCGACUAAAAGUAAAGGAAAAAAAUUAAUUCGUUCGGAAUCCGCGUUGAUUAGCUAAGAAAAUAGAGCUCCUUUCAUCCGUUUCGAUCUGCCAAAAUCUACUUAAGACCCGCUCCCCGGACUUCCCUUGAUCCAUCUUAAUCUGCCAAAAAUCUACCAAAAACCCGCUCCUGCCCUAACCCACCCUGAACGGAACGAUAAAUAGGGACAAAAUAUAUGAUAAAAAACUCACCCCGAAUAUGAUGCAGAUCGGGCUUUUCGGGUGUACGAACGCCGUCGACGCCGCAGCCGCAAUUAGAGCAUAUGGCUUGAUCGACCGGAGAUAGGUCCGGGUUGAGUCAAACCUACGAAUUUCUAGAAGCAUUCUAUUCUAGAAGCAUCUAGGGAUAUUUACUUCCUUGUUAUUUGAACUUAUCUAGUUGUUUGGAAAGUUGUUUACUUGGGAUUUUUUUAUUUUAUUUACUUCCCUAUUAUUUGAGUUUAUCUAAAAGCUUUUUAUUUGGUAGGGAUUUUAUUGUUAGGAUUUUUUUCCUGUGAGCUUAUCACUGUCAGGAAAAACUCUUUAAAUAUUCUAUGCAUGGGACGAUAAAGAAUUAAUGAAGAAGAAUGUUAUUUUGCCAAUGAGCUGUGUUCUCUAAUUUUCCUUCGCAUUUACGCAUCGAUCAGAGCAAGCCCGUAGGGAGCGAGUCCCUUUAUCUUUUUCUUUUUGCAAUUCCCUCUUCAACUUUAAGUCCUUUUUCCCCAUCAAUGCCGCCUGCUGCUAGCACCAUCGACGCCGCUUGCUGCCAGCACAUCAUCGCCGUCUGCUGCCCGCACUAUCAACGCUGCAUGCUGCCAGCAGCUCCGAAUCCACCCACACUUUCUUCGCCUCCCGCUAAUGAUGUAGUCGCCGACUGCUUUCACUGCCAUCGCCUUCUACCAUCGCUCAAUUGCUACGCUUGAGCCAUCCGAGAUCGAUUCGUCGUCAAGAACUCGCUGUCAACUUCUUUAACUGCCAAACCUAAACCUAUUCCUAUUUCUUUUAAUUUUACGUUCUUUCCAUUUUCUCCUCUAAUCCAUUUGAGCCCUCCCUUUUGCCUGGUUUGCCUGACCCAACAGGUUGCAAUUGUCGGAUAGGCUGUGGACCCGUCACCCAACAACGAAUCGAGCAUCUUGCGGAUCCCUUGUGCGCUUGUUCUUAAUAAUAUCUCUUGCUGAGCCCGACAGGUUAGAUCCGAACAUCUCAAACCCUUAGUUACUUUCAAUUCCCCGCCUUGCAUUGCCUCACUCUUUAGGGUCAUCUAAAUUAUUUAAUUUGUUGAGUAUCGAAUAUAAUUCCUAUUGUGCUAGCAUCAUAUUGUGUUUGAUGAGUUUCUCAACCUAGGAUUUGUCCCAAUUACAUUUAACUUCCUAAUCCUUUAUCCACAAAUCUUGCAUCAGUUUUGGUAUCAAAGCCCUAGGUUAAUGUAUGAUCCUUAGGAGCGGAAAACUUUAUCAGCCUUUACCAAAAUCGUCGAACCCUGCGACGAUGGAUUAGAUUUUACAACAAUUGACCUCUUUGAACACUAAAUUAGACGACAUAGGAAACCGCGUUGCCGCCCUAGAAACGAACCCUGAAAGAUUAUUUGCACAAAACAAUGAUAACAGAGAAGAAACUGCGUUAUGCACCCCUCAACCCCAUGAAGUUCAUCGGAUACAACCAAGAUUUAAUCCAAUCUUUCAAAAUGAAAACUAUGUUUUCGAGAUGACAUAACACAAAAAGUAAAAAUUGAUGCACCCACUUAUGAUGGAAAGUUCGAUCCUAAAACUUUUUAUGGACUGGCAUAUUGACAUGGACCAAUAUUUUGAUUGGUACGAAAUGUCUGAUAACCGUAGAGUACGUAUUGCCAAAAUGAAACUCACCGUCACGGCCAAGCAAUAUUGGAUAGGCGUUGGAAGGCACUUAGAAUGACUUGGCAAGGAGCCUAUCACUUUAUGGGCUGAAAUGAAGGCUAAAUUGAGAGAGAAAUAUUUGCCGACCACGUACAAACAAUAAUUGUACAAUCAAUUAAAUGCAUUUCAGCAAGGUUCUCUAUCAGUUGCCGAAUACAUGGCCAAGUUCGAUGAGAUGAAUGUCCGUUGUGACACUCGAGAAGAGGAAGAGCGGACCCUUUCACGAUUUCGCAACGGCUUGCACGGGAAGUUGUAGCACGAUAUUGCGCGCACCGUGCAGCCACAGUCAAGCAAGCUUUUCAACUCGCCUUGGAAUACGAAAAGUAUUUAAAGGCACCUGCUUGUCGAAUCAUUAGGCAAUGGGAUGAUAGGUACACAAGGAGCACCAACACGAAUUUCAACAAAACGAACAGUUUUCAAAAUCAACAAAUCCACGAUCCUAAGAGCAAGGGUUUAGCUACUAACAAAACCAAACCGGGAAACAUACAAGGUAGGUGUUAUAAUUGUCGCCAAAUAGGAUAUUAUGCUCAUAGUCCCAAGCAGAACAUGUUUGCCCAACCAACUGACGAAGAAUUUGACAACCUAGAAGAAAUCGCACACACUGCCGAGGAAAUCCCUAGUGACAAAAAAGGGUUAGAAACAAAUGAGUUCGGGGAAAACCCCGUUUACAAGUCAUGCGAUGUGUCUUGACACAACCUAGGGAAGAUGACGAUUGGAGACGCACUUCUAUUUUUCACACUUACACAAAGUGCGGAGAUAAAAGCUGCAAAAUCAUCAUAGAUGGUGAUAGUUGUAUCAAUGUGAUUUCUGAAGCCGCUAUAGGUCGUCUAAACCUUAAAGAUGAAUCCCAUCCUAACCUUCAUAGUGUUGCGUGGUGGACAAGACCACAAUGCCCAUAACAAGGCAUUGUUUGGUUUCACUUUAUUUUGCUACUAUUCCGACCAGAUUUGGUGUGAUGUCUUUCCUAUGGACGCCACCCAUGUGUUUUUAGGAAGGCCUUGGCUUGAUGAUCUAUCUGUCACACAUUACGGUCGACCUAACACUAUGUUUUUGCUCACAAUGGGAAGAAUAUUGUUUUGAAUCCAACAAAAUCCUCUCAACAAAAAUUUUUAUCAAAAAACUCUAAAUUCCCGAAAGAUCCGAAUUCAGGCUCCACUAAGGCUUCGUUUGGUUCGGGGUUAAGUAAGAACUAGUUAUUCUAGGGAUAGGGCUAAGUUCAGGGUUAAGGUAGGGUUAGAAUAAUUUUGUGUUUGGUUGAGAAUUGGGUUUAGUCCAGGUAUAAGUAAAAUAGUGUUUGGUUGUAGUGAAAUAAGAAGGAUAGUGGGUUGUUAUAAAUAGAUAUAAUAAUUUUACCCUAAUUUUUAUAUUUGAAUUUUAAUUUUUUAUUUUUUAUUUAAAACUUCAAAUUUAAAUAGAUAACUUUUAAAAUUAAAAAAAUUCAAAAUUAUAAUUUAUUUUUAAAUCUCAAGUUUAAAAAUUUAAAGUUAUAAAAUUUAAAUCAAAUCUAACAAAUAUAAAAUUUAAAAAAUUGAAAAUAACAAUUUAAAAUUUAAAUUUUAAAAUUUAAAAACUAAAAAUAUAAAUAUAUAUUUUAAGAUUGCAAAUUAUAAAUUUUUAAAAUUUCAAAUAUAAAAUAUUAAAUAAUUAUAAAUAAUAAUUUAAAAAUUAAAAUUUAAAAUUUAAAAAUAUAAAUAUUAAAGAUUACAAAUUAAAUAUUUUAAAUUUUUCAAAUUUAAAAUUUAAAAAUUAAAAAUUAAAAUUCAAAAAUAUAUAUAUUAAUUUUAAGAUUACAAAUUAAAUGUCAAAUUUAAAAUUAAAAUAAUUAAAAUUAAAUUUUAAAAUUUAAAAUUUAAAAUUUAGAAAUUAAAAAUAUUAAUAUUAAUUUUAAGGUUACAAAUUAUAAUUUUUUAAAAUUAAUAAUUUAAAAUUAAAAUUUUAAAAUUAUAUUUUAUUUUAAAUUGAAUUUGGGUGGGAUUAACUUUAAUCCCGAUGGUGGGGGAGGGGGAGAGGGGGUGGGGGUUUGUUAACCCCACCGCAAAUGGGCUAUCCACCCCCAAAAUAUUAGUGUUUAGGGUUAAAAGGGGGGUUAUCCCCCUUAACCCCCUCCCCUUUAACCCCCAACCAAACACUGGCUAAAGAUUUUAAAAAUCCUCCAUCAUAGAUUUCAAAGACAAAACCUGUUCACAUUGUUAACAAAAAAGAGUUUUGUAAAGAAAUUAAUUCUCAAGUUUUAUAUGCUUUAAUCAUCAAAGAGGUUUCCAAUCCACCUAAACCCGUUGAGAUCCCUCUAGUCAUCAAAACCCUCCUCUCCGAAUUUAGUUGCCUGACCCCAGAAGAAUUGCGUGAUGAACUUCCCCUACUUAGGGAUAUUCAACAUGCAAUUGAUCGUCCCCGGCUCAUCUUUACCUAGUUUACCACACUAUAGGAUGAACCCAAAAGAACACUCGAACUGAAACGUUAGGUAGAUGAUCUAGUUAGGAAAGGCUUUGUAAAGGAAAGCAUGAGUCCAUGCGCAGUACCAGCACUACUCACACCUAAAAAAGACCGAAGUUUGCACAUGUGCGUUGACAGUCGCGCCAUUAACAAAAUCAUGAUUAAGUACCGGUUUCCAAUUCCACGUCUGGAUGAUAUGCUAGACAUGAUGGCUGGGGCAUCUAUUUUCACGUAAAUUAAUCUCCAAAGUGAAUACCACCAUAUUCGAGUUAGGCCUGAAGAUGAGAGGAAGACCGCAUUUAAGACGAAAGAAGGAUUAUACAAGUGGUUAGUCAUUCCGUUCUGCUUGACAAAUGCCCCGAGUACUUUCAUGAGGGUUAUGAACCAAGAUUUUAGGCCUUUCAUUGGAAAGUUCCUGGCUGUGUACUUUGACGAUAUUUUGAUUUAUAGCCAUGCCAAGAAUGAACACUUAUAUCAUAUUCGCCAAGUAUUUGAAAUUUUAAGGAAAGAAAAAUUUUACCUUAACAUAAAAAAGUACGCUUUCAUGCAACCUCGUGUCACCUUUUUAGGAUUUGUUGUGUCCAAUGAUGGGGUAUCAGUUGUUCCCAAAAAAGCGAGAGCAACUAGAGAAUGGCCUGAACCUAAAAAUAUUCACGACGUUAGGAGCUUUGAUGGCUUAGCAAUUUUUUUACCGUAGGUUUAUUAAAGGCUUUAGUACUAUAAUGGCUCCAAUUACGAAUUAUUUAAAGAAGGGUGAAUUUAAAUGGACACAAUCGGCCAUUAAAGCUUUUAAAGAAAUUAAAUCUUUGAUAACAGAAGCACCAAUUUUGAAAUUGCCAGAGGGAGAGAGUUCAUCAGUUGACAAGAAAAAACGGCUCCAUCGGUAGAGUUUUGAACCAAGAAGACCACCCGAUAGCCUAUUUUAGCAAAAAAUUAAACGAGGCUAAACUGAAAUACUCUACCUAUGAUAAGGAAUUGUAUGCCAUGGUUCAAGCAUUAAAGUAUUGGCGACACUAUUUAUUACCAAAGGAAUUUGUAUUAUUUUCUGAUCAUCAAGCCAUUAGGGACUUCAAUUCACAAAAAAACUUAAAUUUUCGACAUGCGAAAUGGGUUGAAUACCUUCAAGAAUAUACCUUUGUCCUAAAACAUCAAGGCGGAACCGAUAACCAAGCCGCUAACGCCUUAAGCCGAGUCGUGGCCACUUUGAACAAUGUCGGGGUGAGCGCAAUUGGGUUCGAUAGCGUUAAAGAGGAAUAUCCCUCAUGUCCGGACUUCAGCGAAAUCUACUCCUCAGUUUUAGAGCGCAACUCUACUAACCCAGAUUUUGUCAUUCAAGAUGGAUAUCUUUUUCGGGGUGUUCGUUUGUCCAUCCCACAUGGCUCGUUACGUGAUUUUGUUAUUGGGGAACUCCACGCGAGAAGCUUAGCCGAACACUUUGGUCCAGACAUGUAAUAUCUGAAAUUUUACCAAUAAAGGAAAUUCAGAUUUUGAAUUUUUAAAUUGAAAUUGUGUGUGUGUGUAUAUAUAUAUAUAUAUAUAUAUAUAUAUAUGUGUGUGUGUGUGUGUGUGUGUGUGUGCGUGCGUGUGUGUGUGUGUACCUGGAUAUGUCGUGGAUCGCAGAGAGGGUCGGUAUCGUCGCAAAUCGGCGACCAAAUCGAACGAAACAAAAUUGUAGAUUCGAUGCCCCAGUCGUGCUGAACGCGCUGGCACGAUCCGAUUGGAAAUCCGACGGACGAAUCUCCGGGAAUCGCAAAUUGUUCGCUAAGGGGUCGAAAUUGGCAAAACGGAAAAAUUGCGAAAAACCCAAUAUUUUACGUACCGUUUUGCGUGAUUUUGAACAUCGAGGUGCGUACACGCAAGAUACACACGCUGGCAGGGACUGGGCUGAAAAUAAUCAGCUUUGGGGGACCUUUUUGCAAAAAGUACUCAUAAUAUAUAUAGUUGCAACUAGGGUUUCAUAGAGGAAACCUUAGCUCUUGGACUCCCCUCAGCUCAACUAACCCUAGCCGUCACCAGCAGCCCCUGCCCUAGCCAUGAGCACACCCCGGCCGCUGGCAAGCUCCCUCGGCCGCCAGAAAAGCUGACCCUACCUCCCUCUCAAUCUCUCUCUCCACCUUGCCUCCACCACUGUAGCCAACAACAACAGGGAAUCACUCGCUCGCGCCGAGCCUUCGUUCUCUAGCCAAGAACCCCACCCUCCAGCACCGACCUCGCCGGCCCCCGCAGCCCGCAUGCGCCGCCUGCGCCGCCUGGGCUCCCUGCGGCCGCCCAAACCUAGUGCAGGCCGAGUCUGGGCCAUCCUGGCCUCCGUGCGCCGCCACCGCCCUUGAUCGGCCGCGCCGCCCUCCUUGGGCUUCCGGCGACCCUCCGAUCGCCGCUGUCGCCGACCUCGCAAGCUGCCAGCCGCCGCAUUGCUCCCUACUGCUGCCCAGCGUGAGCCCGGGCCGAGGCUGAGCCAUCUUCCAACCCGUGCGCCGCCGCCGACCGUGCUGCCGCCACCCACGGUCGGCGGCGCCGCCCUCCCUCGGUCUCCGGCGACGUGCCGCUGUCGCCCCGGCGCAUCCCCGGCAGCCGCCCGGCUGCAGUUGCUUCUCGAACCCGAGCCGAGCCGCAUGGGAGCGUACUGGUCCACCGCGCCACCAGCCGCUUCCUGCCGCUGGAAGCUCGAGCCACUGCACUAGGGGUGGCAAUCAGCUCGUUGUUCCGAGCGCGUCGUGAUUCGGCACUUCGAAAUAGCUUUCGAGAUCCGGCUCGUCGUUUUAGUAAACGAGCGACACGAGCCUGGCAUUUUUCAGCUGUUUAAUAACAAGCCGAUACACGAUUGGUCGGUAGCUCGCUCGUUUUGACCGAUAACGCUCAAAUACAUAUAUUUAUAUUUAUAUAAUUUUUUAAUUUAGUAUUUCUUAUAUAUAAAUAAAUAAUAUAUAUAAUAUAUAUUUUUAUUAUAUUUUUAGCAAAAAAAAUUAUAAAUGCGAGCUUAAUUAUAAAAAGACUCAUUUAUAGUAAAGCUUCACACUUAUUACAUCAAGUCUAAUGAAUAAGAUUUUAUAAAUUUUAUUUUUUAUAAUAUAUUUAAUCUAAUCCUUUUUCCACUAUUUCAUUGAUUCGUUGGCCAGCUCUGUAGCCAGCUCGUGUUCGGCUGUUAUAAACGAGCCGACACGAGCUGGCCCGCUAAAACGUCAUGGCCCGCUAACCGCUAAGUAUCGAGCCGAAAAUCGCAGCUCCGUGUUCGGGUUUAAUAAACGAGCCAAACACCGAGCGACCCCAGCCUUAGCUUGUGUUCGGCUCGUUUACACCCUUAGCCCCCACUGAUCGGCCGCACCCACCUCUGGCCGGCCCACCCGCCGUCCAACCACCACCGGCCACCCCCGGGCUCCAACUAGCUCCGGUAAGCUUUAACUAGUAUUCUGCACACUUUUUUUGGGGUUCUGGUCGCUUUUCCAACGAUCCGAGGACACCCCGACACUCCCGGAAAUGAGCACGAUGAUCUCUAAUCCGUGCCGAACAUCGUGCUCACCUCCGUUAGGGACAGCAAAGCCUCAGUUUACGUGCUAAACGCGGUUUAGGCGUUGUGCGCGCUAUUUCGCUGAACUUCGCGUCGCUCGCGCACUCGCCACAAUGGCCGGCAGUGCUCCGAAGCAUGAGCACGGCCUCCGGCACAUCAAGACUUGACAGCGGGUGUCUCAGCCAGGCUAGUAAGUACUCGGUUUGCGCUGUCGGGCCGUAAAACCCCGAAAAUCACAUAAAAUGAUGUGAUUUUAUGUAGUCGCAGAGGUUUUUAUGCAAUUUUACGUUCCGUGGUUGAUGUUGGCAGCGUGUGCGGGCAGCGGGUGACCUCUGGACUGGUUGUCCAAGGCCCCAGGCCUUUUCGGAAAUUGAAUGUUGAUUUUCGGUGUGUUUUUCGGCGAAAUCCGCCGACGGAACGCGAUUUCGAUUCAGAAUUCUUCCGACAGUGCCUUAACGGUAGAUCUUGUUGUCGCUAAGCCUUGUUGGCGUAUCACUCGCGUCGUUUCGAGGGUUCAGAAAUGACGGGUGAGCGACGGUGGGUUCCGGUGUCGAAUUUGACACUGCGGGAACCCGAAUUGGAACGAUUAUCCGACGAUAAUCGUUUCGAUGUAAGGAGGUGUGUUUGCUGCCAAGUCACACGAAUAAUUGUGUUUAAUAGCAGCGGGUGACUCGUAGCAUGAGUUGGUGAGUUCCGGGACAGUUUGUGGGUCCCGGCGAAGUUCCGGUGCGAUUUUCGAGACUUUCGGCGUGUUACGACAAUAGGUUUGGGAAACCAAUUCCCGUGGGUUUACAUGUGGGGAUUGUGAGUUAGUGGUUCGUGUUCGUGGGGUGGAUUCUAACCCGGUGGACCCUUCGUAGGUCCGGUUGAUUCUUCUCUGUAGUCCUGAGACCAGUGCCAGAUACGUACAGGUGGGUACUUUGACCCGAAGUCGGUAUAGUGGUACAUGCUCGGUGGUAUCUUCUUAUCCUUACUCUUGUUAUUACCUUGUAUAUAUAUAUGUUGAGCCUUGCACCUUUAUUACCUCUUUAUCGCUCUACUUAGUUUGUUUACCUAUCUAGCAUCAUGAGUAGAAGUAGAGCAGGUUUAUNUUACAUGUGGGGAUUGUGAGUUAGUGGUUCGUGUUCGUGGGGUGGAUUCUAACCCGGUGGACCCUUCGUAGGUCCGGUUGAUUCUUCUCUGUAGUCCUGAGACCAGUGCCAGAUACGUACAGGUGGGUACUUCGACCCGAAAUCGGUAUAGUGGUGCACGCUCGGUGACAUCCUUUCCACUCUUCUCCUAUUAUUAUUUUUGCAUGAUAUAUGUUGAGCCUUGCACCUUUAUUACCUCUUUAUCGCUCUACUUAGUUUGUUUACCUAUCUAGCAUCAUGAGUAGAAGUAGAGCAGGUUUAUAAUUACAUGUGAGAUUUGUGACCUAGUUGGUCGGUUCUCGUAUCUCGUACUAUGACCUAUUCGGUCGGUUCAUUGCAUCUAGCAUUAUGACCUACUUGGUCGGUUGGACUACUUGGUGACCUAUACGAUCGGUAUACCCUGAGGGGUAGGAUUGUCGGCUAGUUGCCGACGGUUGGCUAUUAAGCAUAUCCUCAUUGAUUGCCCGAGACUCGUUUGCAUUUCACGAACACCAGCGGUCUGAUUCACCGCAAGAUAGUGUUCUUUUCCGUAAAAAUGGUAGGAUGUGCCAGCCCGUGAGCCUAGCGGUCAGAACUGGAUUAUAUGCAGCCCGUGAGCCCAGUAGUCAGAACUGGAUUAUAUACAGGUAGAGUGGCAGUGGCAUACGCCUGAGGUCUACGGACCGAUAGGGCAGGUUUCAGAUUCGGUAUUUUGGACUUGUCGUCCAGUUGAUGCAUACAUACAGUAGCGAUAGUUAUUCAUUUAUACAUCUCGUUCAUUUAUUAUCAUUGCUACUGUAUUAUCCUUACCCAUACCUUUGUUUAUUCUUGUUGACUGAUGAGUACCCCUCGCCCUCGUCGACUUGCGGUUCGUGGGGAGCGUACCUAGUGAUCGAUAGAGCUGUCGGACCAGUCUCUUCGGUUUAAUUCUUAAACUCAGUUUCUUUUAAUAAGUGACUCAGAAAGUAUUAUGGUUCAGUAUUUCAUAUUAAUUGAAUAAUUGGGAUUUCGUGAAUGUAAUAAAGGAUUUAUGGAUUCUUGCAAAAAUGAAAAUGGCUUUCUACCCUUCGUGGUAGCGUGCUUUUAAAGAAAAAAGAUUUCCGUGUGGGAAACGGAAACAGUUUUAAAAGGAUUUUCUAGUUUUCCUGGUUAUUAGCAUUUCAAAACGAGUUUUCGGGUAGGAAACAUUUUAAACUGCUAGAUGUGGAUUUAUGAAACUUGUGAUGAACUGAAUGAGGAUGUGAAUGGUGUAUGGAUAUGUGGAUAUUCAUAUGUUAUGGUUGUAUCUUGUAUUUGUGCGACGCCAUGCAAAUACAGGGGAGACUCUGUCCAUGUGAACAGUGAACUUCCUUUAUUUGUGGCGGAUUUGACAUACCCUGGGGGUCAAGAUUUUCAAAAAAAAAAAAUUGGACACUUCAGCAUUGGUUUUUAAAUUAAAAAGGGACCCCGAGGCGUGACAAGACAACUAUUUCUAUAGUUGAGGAUCGAUUCUACUGGCCAAGCCUCAAAAGAGAUGUUGUGCGCAUUAUGGCACCAUGUGGGACUUGUCAAAGGGCCAAAGGUGGUCGGAAGAACGCAAGAUUAUACACGUCCCUGCCUACACCACAUUCUCCUUGGCAAGAUCUAAACAUGGAUUUUGUUUUAGGUCUACCAAAAAUGAUUAGAACGCACGAUUCUAUUCUUGUUGUAGGUGAUCAUUUUUCUAAAAUGGCUCAUUUUGUUCCUUGCCGUAAGACAUCCGAUGCUACUCAUGUUGUAAAACUUUUCAUGGCUGAAAUUGUAUAUCUCCAUAAUUUACCAAAAUCAAUCGUGACUAAUAGGGAUGUUCAUUUUGUUAGUUAUUUUUGGAAAACAUUGUGGAAAACUAUGGGCACAAAAUUAUUUUUCUCAUCUUCGCAUCAUUCGGAGACUGACGGCCAAACAGAGGUAGUCAAUCAGAGUUUGGAAAACCUACUUCGAUGUCUAGUCGGUGACAAUGUUAAAAAUUGGGAUUUUAUUCUACUGCAAGCAGAAUUUGCAAAUAAUAGUUCAAUCAAUCGAACCACCGGAAUGAGCCUUUUUAAAAUAGUGAUGGUAUAUGACCCAAACAAACCAAUCGAUUUAAUUCCUCUUCCUAUAGAACAAAGACCUAGUGAACAAGCAUCUUCAUUUUGACAACAUCUACGGGACUUACAUUACGAAAUUCGACGAAAAAUAAUUUUUAAAUAAUGAAAACUAUAAGAGGAGAGCUGAUGCUCACAGGCGAGAAGUUGGAUUUAAGGAAGGAGAUUUGGUGAUGGUGCAAAUUAGACUGGAGAGGCUUCCACACGAGACUUUUAAAAAGCUACAUGCAAAAAAUAUGGGUCCGUUUAAGGUUCUUAAAAAAAUUAGGUCUAAUGCCUAUUUGUUGGACUUGCCAUCUGACAUGGGAAUUAAUCCUACUAUCAAUGUUGAGGAUCUUACUUUAUACUAUCCAGAUAUACAAAAUUCGUUGUCCUAUUCAUUUUCAUCUCCACUUUCCCAAGAACCCUAUGUGGGAAAAGAAAAUUGACAUUGAGGCGAUCCUUGACGAUCAUAUUGUGUCGACAAGGGAUGGCGGAGAGCGCAACUUUUUGGUCAAAUGGUUUAUAUCGGCCUAACGAGAAUGCGACUUGGAUUUUACAAGAGGAACUUCAGCGGUUGGACCCUAGUUUGUAUGAAGAGUACAUUUAUAACAAUUCAACGGAGUCGAAUUUUUCAAAGGCGAAGAGAGCUGAUGCGGAUCGGGCUUUUCGGGUUUACGAACGUCAUCGACGCAACAACCGCAAUUUGAGCAUAUGGCUUGAUCGACCCAAGAUAGGUCUGUGCUGAAUCGAACCUACGAAUUUCUAGAAGCAUCGUAGGUUCUAGAAGCAUCUAGGGAUAUUUACUUCCUUGUCAUUUGAACUUAUCUAGUUGUUCGGAAAGUUGUUUUUUUUUAUUUUAUUUAAUUCCCUUUUAUUUGAGUUUGUCUAAAAGUUGUUUAUUUGGUAGGGAUUUUAUUGUUAGGAUUUUUUGUUUUGAGCUUAUCACUGUUAGGAAAAGCUCUUUAAAUAUUAUAUGCAUGGGAUGAUUAAGAAUUAAUGAAGAAGCAAGGAUUCAAGUGCCGGCCGCCGGUGCGGCACGUACCGUGGCCCCAAGAAGCGGGCACGGAACAGAGGGGGUCUCAGACCCCCCACUCCGUGCCCUGGCACACGAGGCCGUGCCACACGAGACAGAGCGGCACAACAAUGCGUGCCGCGGCACAGUGCCGUGCCGGCACUGCAAAAUUUUUUUUUGCUUCUUUUUUUUGCUUUUUGUUUUUUUCUUUUUGUUUUAUUUUUUGGGGUACCCGAAGCAUUCUAGGUACCCUACAAUCCCAAAAAAUAUUACAAAUCGAAGAUCUAUUUGUUAGGCAAGUUAAAAAAAAUUAUAAUUUAAAUUUUUUUUGUUUUAUCAAUAUAGGGCAAAUUUUUAAUUUACAUAUCCGAUCCCUCCGAUUCCACCACAGACAUCCAUUUUUUCUUUACAAAUUAUUUUAUCAAAAUUUGACGCACCAGCGAAACUUUUGCCAAAUUAGAGAAACAAAAUCGAAUUCAAUAAACAAAUUUUGAGGCACAUCAAACAUAAAAUUUUAUUUCUGCGUUAGCAGAUUGAAAAUACCAAUAAAAUUAAAAGUUAAAUUAAAUUAAUUGAUACUUAAAUUUAUUUAAUUUAUUUGUCAUACAAUUUAUCGCUUAAUUUUUUUGAUAGAUCUACUAAUUUUUUGAAAAAUUAAUUAAAAAAUAAUUUUUUUUCUAACCUGUAAAAAUUUCUAUUCUGCAUCAGAUAUAGUUGUACUUUAUAUACAAAAAAGCUUAUAAGUAUGUUAAUUGAUGAGUAUAGUAAGCUAUACAUAGCAAAUAUUCAUAAUUAUUUGAUUAAAUCUUUCAAAAUAAUAUUAUAAAAGUUUAUUGAUGCAGUCACCGAGUGCUUCCACUGUCGUCACUUUCUACCAUCGCUCGAUUGCUGCGCUUGAGCCUUCCGAGAUCAAUUCGUCAUCGAGAACUCGCCCUCAACUUCUUUAACUACCAAACCUAAACCUAUUCCUAUUUCUUUUAAUUUUACGUUCUUUCCAUUUUCUCCUCUAAUCCAUUUGACCCUUCCCUUUUGCCUGGUUUGCUUAACCCAACAGGUUGCAACUGUCGGAUAGGCUGUGGACCCAACAACAAAUCAAGCAUCUUGUGGAUCCCUUGUAUGCUUGUUCUUAAUAAUAUUUCUUGCCGAACCCGACAGGUUUGAUCCGAACAUCUCAAACCCUUAGUUACUUUCAAUUCCCCACCUUGCAUUGCAUCGCGCUUUAGGGUCAUAUUAAAACUAUUUAAUUUAUUGAGUAUCAAAUAUAAUUCCCACUGUGCUAGCAUUAUAUUGCGUAGAUGAGUUUCUAAACCUAGGAUUUGUCCCAAUUACAUUUGACUUCCUAAUCCUUUAUUCACAAAUCCUACAUCAGAAUCUCUCUCCAAGAAAAUAGGGUAAAAGGUGGGAGGCCCCUCUCACCCUCGGAUCCGCCCUAUUUGCAUCCCUACUAAGGUAAAAAAUUUGCAUUAAUUUUCACCCUACAUUUUAACACUGUCUCAACCCAUUUGGGUCUAUUCUUGAGCUAAUUAUGCUACUUCACUCGAAUUGUUCGGCAAAUCAUGUCAAACCUAUAUUUGAACAUAUUUCCAACUUUCAACUCAUAUUAUAGAUCAAAAAUUAAAUAAAAUGAUCUUUCUUUCUUUACCACAAUUAUCAAAAUUAGUAUAUCUUAUUAGACAAUUUAUUCAGUUUAUACGAUCAUACUCAGUUGGCCGUUAUUACUAUAUCAGUAUUACUUACCAACACGUUUUCAUUAAGUUCUAUAUCCACACAAAAACUAUCAUGAAUUUUUAGACCUAUUUGGGACAAUGACAAAGUGUGCAUGGGGAAAUUUGAUGCGACUUUUCACAUAGGGGAAAAAUUGAGACACGGGCUAAGGUGCAAGGAUUUUUUUUUCAUAAUUUAGCCUGGCAUGUGAGUGCAAAUGGAUCCAUGUUGGUGAAGCUCCCGCUAGGGCUGGCAAAUGAGCGAGCCGGCUCGCGUUCGACUCAAUAUUUGGCUCGCUCGAGCUCGAGCUCGACUCGAAAUUAAAUGAGCCGAGCUUGAACAAAAAAAAAAGGCUCGAAAUUCAUUUCAAGUCGAGCUUGAGUAUUACUCGGCUCGUUCGAAUUAGGCUCGAAAAGCUCGAAUAUAUAUAUAUAUAUAUAUAUAGGGGACCGCAAUCAUCCCAACCGUACAAUUCUUGAUCAAAGGGUCAAAAAUUCGAAAGUAUCAAAUCCUCUAUAUUUCCGAUAGCAUAGUAGUUCUACACUAUAUAUAUAUAUAUUAAAAAAUAUAUAAAUAUAAUAUAUUUUAAUUAUAUAUAGGCUGAGUGAAUAACCUGAGUUUAGUUAAAAUUGGGCCAAUGUUAUUGGUCCAAAAAAACAAACCCAAUAGACAAAUAAAAAAGCAAAAUUCUACUAAAUUCAUACUUUUUUCCUUUCUUUCUUUCACAGAGCUCUAAAUUUUCAAUCUGUUUCUCUCUUUCUCUUUUUCUCUGUCUCUAACUCUAAGUGGCCAAGCCUGAAGCCCUCCAAGUCACCAAGUAACAGCAUAUGCCCGCCGUUGCCUAUCUUGCUAUUAAUUGUGUACUUAAGAAAAUAUACAUAAUAUUUUUAAAGUAAAAAAUUAUUUUUUAUAUAAAAUUUUAAUUUUAGUUAUAUAUGAUUGGAUAGUUUAAUACAAUAUUUACCUAUAUAAUUUAUUUAUUUUUGACCGCAUAAAUGAAAAUGAAUAAUAUGGAGAUUGAAGGCGAAAGAGAAGACAUGUGAGGCUGAAAAGAUUAGAUAUUCAACUCAUAAAUUAUUUUUGUUCAUAUUAUAAUACCAUAUUUCAUAUAAUUAUUUUGUACUUUGAACUAUUAGACAUAUUUUUGUAUCAAAUUGUAGAUAAUGUUCUAUACAAAUUAAACUAUUGAUCGUACGAUGUUGAGAAUUUCAAGCGGCUCGUUUAAGGCUCGAGCUCGCUCGACUCGAAAUUAGGCUCGCUCGAGCUCGGCUCGAAUUAAUUUCAAUCCAAGCUUGAGCUUAAAUUUAGGCUCAAAAUUAAUUUCAAGCCGAAUUUGAGCUGAGGUAAGCUCGCUCGAGCUCGGCUCGUUUGCACCCCUAGCUCCCGCCCUAAUCCGUCCUCAAUGGGGUGGUAAAUGGGGCAAUAAGUAAAGAAAAAGAAUAGCACGUUGGGAAUCCACCAUUAUCUAUUAAGAAAAUGGAGCGGAAGGUAGGGCAUCCCUUCCUUCCCUUGAUUCAUCAUGAUCUACCAUAAAUCUACCAAAAACUUGUUCUCACCCUAACCCACCUCGAAUGGAGCGAUAAAUGGGGGCAAAAAAUAAGAUUAAAAACUCACCCCAAAUAUCUCGCCAAGAAAAUGGGGUGAGAGGUGGGAGACCACUCCCACCCCCCAGAUCCGCCCCAUUAGCAUCCCUAAGUGGGGGCAAAAAAUAAAAUAAAAAACUCACCCCGAGUAUAUCACUAAAAAAAUAGAGCGAGAGGUUGGAGACCCCUCCCGCCCUCGGAUCUACCCCAUUUGCAUCCCUACUAAAGUCCUAUUUGGAUGUCGAAAUAAGUUAUCCAUUAAUAACUUAUACCUUAUGAGGAUUUCUUUUGUGAUUGCAAGUUAGGAGCUUGAUUUAGCUCUUUCGAAGCUCGACAACCAUGAUUUAAUAGGACAAAAUACUUCAAAUCUGAGGUGAUUUAUCUUAUUCCAAGAAAAUGACUUGGAUGCCAAAUAUAGCAUGCUUUUCUAGACAUUUGAUCCUACUCUUUCAUCCACCAAAUAUUGCAAGCUUCUUGAACAGAUAAAAGAGGAGUCAAACAAGAAGUUCAUGCAACAAAGCAUGCCCUAAAAAGAAAAAUAUAGAGAUAUCAUCAAUUUCAUUGUCUACAGAAAGAAUUAUCUAGCUACAAAAAAGGUUCUAAAGUAAAUUCUCCAACAAACUACUCUAUCGCUUCCAGUUUAUUGACAAAGAGUUAUCUAGCAUGCCCUUCAUUUCAGAAUUUCUUGAUAAAGAAUUAUCUUGCUACUUCCAGUUUAUUGACCCAUAAAUACUAAAACAUACAGAUAUAUGUAGACAAAUACAUGCUACAAGAGUUGGAGAAAGUAAAAGGAAAAGAAAAUCAUGCAAUCAUAAAGUACAAUCAUAAUAUCUAUUAACAUUUAUUAACAACAAAGGUCACAAUUGCAUGGACAAGGCACAUUAGGAAUUUCUCAUGGUUUCACAACUCAUGCAUCAUGUGUUAGAAUUCAAUUUCCAAUCAAUAUGCAAAUUUUUGGACGACUCUUUCCUCCUAUGGAAAGUUUCCUCUUUAGCCCACAAACAAUUCACAUGGCAAGGCUACUACUAUUCGAUUAAUAAAUUUCUUUAUUAUAAGGGUGAAAAAUCUUAACAUAGAUCAAUACAUAAACAACAGAGUACAAUUAAACUACACUGUGAUGGUCCACAAGGUCCACAAACAUGGCAUAACUUACUAUAAUAAGAAAAAUCAUAUUGUUGGCAUUUUCAUGUUUGUAAUAUUAAUUAGCUGUACAAUAAGUCAACCAGAAUCUUAUCAACGAAAAAAGAUAAACCCAAUUAUGUUUUGGUUGUUGAUUGGCUAUUUCUGAGAUUUCUCAUUAUAAGAAAGAAGGAGUUAAGAGAACACUUAAGUGACUACUUAAACAUGACAAUUGUUUGACCAAUAAUCUAUCCAACAGGUAUGAUUAUUGAUUGGCUAUUUCUGAGAUUUUUCAGUUCAAGAAAAAGGGGUUGGAGAAAGAUUGAGUGACUACUAGAACAAGACAUAAUUUUUUGACCAGAAACCUAUCCAACAGGUAUUUCAUUAAGUAAUGAUUUGAAUGUUUAGAAUUCAAAAGCAGCCUGAGACACCAAGAUUAACCAAAAGUAUCAUAUCAUACGUAAGCAUCAACCAAGCUGUCACAAUGUCUGGAAUAUAAAGAAACCUCAAUGGAAAUAAGAAAGUACAAAUUAUCAAUCAUUUGCAAAAAAAGCUCAAAAUUAUCAUUGAGAAAUCAAGUAGCCAUAGAAUGCCAACAGGUUCGCUAACUUCUUUAUUAUAUGAAACGUAAAUUGGAAAAUGCAUAAUUUAGUAUUUAUCAGUUAACUUUAGGUGUCAACACCAAAGCAUACCUUCACUCGAAUCUCCACCAUUGUUACCGCCAUUAUCUGUAUCCUUUUCAUUGUCAUCACCAUCCUCAUCAUCUUCAUCUUCAUCUUCAUCUUCCUCUUCUUCAUCAUCAUCACUCUCAACUUCUAUUCUAGGCUUUGGUAGAGGUAUGUAAUUGAUUGAAGAUCUUCGGCGCGAACUGGUGACAAUAUUGCUUAGAUCAAUGCCUUCGAGUUCUCUUGCUCUUUCCUUUCUCUUUUUGACAGCCUUAAUCUCUGAGUUUGACAAUUUCAGGUUAUUCCAUACAGACAAAGAUAGAACUAAGAUUGCACAUAUCACCAUUGAUAAAAGCAUUGACCUUUUGACCAUAAAAAGGCAGCUGAAUUUGAUCUACUUAAAAUAUAUAUAAUAUAUAACUAAAACCAAGGAUACUUCUUUGGAACGAUGAUAUUGUAGCUACAAUUGCGACCUAGAUGUCAUGAGUGUGAACCUCAAAAAUAGUAUGUACAAUUGCGACCUAGAUGUCAUGAGUUUGAACCUCAAAAAUAGUAUCUUCAAAUGAGCCAUAGUUUACAAGGCGCAUAGGGGGGAGAGAGAGAGAGAGAGAGAGAGAGAGAGAGGCCCCACAAUGCAUGAACUUGUGCUCCAAGCUUUUAUUGUAUAUAAGGACAUGAUACGCGUAGCCUGGUGACCCACUUCAACUAUAUGUUAGGUUUCAUAACAAGGAUUGCUCAACUCACAGGAGGCUCUCUAAGAAACAAAAUUACCGACCCCGUAGACUAGAAAGAAGGUCAACCAGCAUCCGCAAGUCGUAAAAGUGACUAACCAAAGUCAUAACACCACGGUAGGAAGGUAGCUAAAUUUAAGGGAAGAAAUAGACAUACCAUGUGCCUAUGAAGGACGACCUGGAAAGGCAGGCACGACAAUGGCUGGGUACUACUAAGAAAGCCAAGCCAGCUCCAUGAGACUGCUCACUUUGAUAAAGCUACAGCCUACAUGCCAAUAUGAUACAAUCUAUAUGGUGAUGCAUUUGCAUUGGAAUCUAUAGCGAACAAAUAAUGCUAAAAAGAUUAAAUUUGAAGGGAUACUCUUUUAGCUUCGCACACAUAUAACAGCCAACACUAAUUUUACCUCUCUAUGGAGUUUGGAGGAAGAUGAAUUACAGAACAAAUCAACGAUUUAGUGGCCUGUGACUUAGUUGCCUGUUUAUAUUAGGGACUCUAAAUAGUUGUAUUGCUGCAACCCCCAUCAACGCAGCAAAUGAUCUCCAUAUCUCUAUAUCAAAGAAUUGUGCAACAAGGGGAUUCCAGAAAAUAUUAGUAGCAAGAUAUUGGAGAAUUUAUGUGUAGGUUUGGCUCACUGAAGAUUCCAGAUACUAUGACACUUUGACUUGCAAACUCUGAAAAAAUAGGACACUCAAAAUUUGUACCAAAACAUGAAUAGAUCCCCUACAAAAUUUCACUAAAUACUGAAACCAUGGAAAAAAUUUCAAAAAAAAAAAAGGAAGCAUUGGAGAAGGUCAAGAUCCGAAAAUAAUUGAUGUUCACUUCUUGAUGCAACAUAACAAAUUAACGAGUAUAAUUUCAAAAUUACCUUAACAAUGCCAAUCAAAUCUUCAACUGGUGAAAAAGUCUGAUUCUUAUACUACAUUAAAUCUGGCUCUUACUUUGCUCAGCUGUAAGAGUUCAAAAUGUUUUUGCAGAAAUAAUGCAAUAUACAAUAACAGUCAAUAGUAUACUAAAAUUAUCAGUUCAAACUUUUUAAGAUGCUUUAGCUCAAUAGGUCAUUGCCACAUAAAUUAUCAUGAAUGUGUGAUUCUUGAUUUGUUGUGUGAACAAAUUGAACCUGAAUAUCUGGACAAAUAAACUAUAAUAGGUUGCAUACAACUUCUCAAUUAAAUAAAAGACAAAUACAAAGAUAUUUGUUUCAAAAUGCAUAUGCAAGUAGGCUAGCAGCAUAUGUCUCCAUCUCUAUCUAUAUUUAUAUCUGUAUCCACAAAUAUCAGUACAAACAUGGAUAGGAACAAAUGUGAGAAGUAUGCUUGCAUGAAUGCAUGCAUGUAUACUGAAUGCCAUAACUCUAGCAUAUAAUAUCCUUGAUUUUAAAAUUUGCCAUAUCAAAUGUGUAUCUGUAGAUCAUAGAUUCUGUAGUCACCAUCUGGCUAUCCAACUAAUGAGGCAAAUGAAACCAAAACUUUUUUCCUUAGGCUUUAAAUUUGAAAUAAGCAGGAUGUUCCCAGUUCUAUAGAAAUGAACAUCUGACUGUGCAUUGAAACGUGAAUGUCUUGUGAUAGCAACUCUACGGCGAUAAGUUGUAAGAUCUCAAUGGCAAUAACAUCAUAUGCCAAUCAGCUCAGUGAGAAGAAUAAUUAACCAAAGACUCAAUAUGUGUUGUCUAAAUCCUAGAAAAAAAAACAUAAGUAAUAAAACUUCAACCUUUUUCAGUAGGAUUACUUGACAGCCCUUCCUUUUCAAGCAUCUCUUCUAACUCCUUUAUCAGGUACUCCUCACGCUUGCUUUCAGGAGCUUGUUUGACCCUCUUAUAAACUGAUGGAGGGACACUAAUUUACACCCAAAAGAUAACUUGAUUAUGCUUGAUUAAGUUUUAUUCUGGAAUAACAAGAGAGUGGAGAGCUAAGUACCUCAUUCCACAAGAUUUAAUUAUCAACUUUAGAUGCUCUACUUGUUUCCCAUAUACUUGAGUGGCCUUUUCUCGUUUAUUCUGCGUGUUAAGAAGACAAAUGUAUGGGAUACUAUAUAAUAACAUGAAGAUACUGUUGCUAUUGAGAAACUCAGUACCUUCACUUUCUCCUCGGUGGAUGAAUGAGAAUGACCAUCUUCAGAAGAGUUUCUUCCAUCUUCUUCUAAACUGCGAUCUAAAUCCUUUUCUGCUGGCUUUUGCCUUUUUAUACCUUUGGUGCUUACUUUAAUUUUUUGAGCCUCCUUUUUCAGCCUUUUCUCAUUAUCAAGUUCUUCAUCCGCACUAUGCGUAUCAUCAACAUCAGAAGAAUCUGAUUCUUGAUGCACUCUUUUUCGGCCUUUGCUAGUAUCUUCUUCAUCCACAUUUUGCGAACACUUCUUACUGCUCUUCUUCACCCCAUUUGUGGAUUCGACAACUCCUUCACAUGAUUGUAUGAGCUAGAUAGAAUCCAAAUGAGAGGAGGGAAAAAAAAGGUUACAAAGAAAACUGCCAUAUUGUGCUUCUAUAAAUCGUAAUAUAUAAAACUCGAUCACUGAGUAACAAAUAAAGCUUACUACAUUAAAAACAUACUUCAUCUAAUUCUUUGCUAAUAAAACUUUUAUAGGCAUCAAGAGCUUUCUUCUUUAGUUUGAGAUCAUCUUCCAAAAUCCUACGAACUUCCUGUAAAGUAAUACGCCUGUAUAUGCAAGUAGAUAAAUUAAUUUCCUUACGGAAUGAAAAAAUAAAAAUAAAAAAAGACAAAAUAAGAAUAUAAGUUAAUCAACCCCAAUAAUUACAUACUCUAAAUUAUCUCUUAUGUAAGUAGUUCUCUUUUUCAGAGCCUUCUUUACCACGUCCUCAUUGAGGCCAUGAAAUUCAGCAGCUUGACUAUUUCCACUUUCAUGCUCUGCUGGUACAUUUCCAUCCAAAGCAGAAGAUCCGUCUAUCUUCUCUUCGAGGCCACUGCUAUCAGUUUUUAACUGCAAGGCUUCAGAUCCUUCUUUGACAGUUUGAGCAGCCGUUGCUUUGACCUUUCCUGAAGUUUCAGACAGCUUCUCAUCUUCAGCACCAUAAAAGCACUGUUUCAUCAACAAUCAAACUAAGUCCAUAUAGCAUCAAGAUCACAAAACAGAAAACAAUAUCAACAUGUAUACUACAAAUCAGAAGAUAGAAAAUGUUCAGGCCUCAGUUGGUACUACUACCGUACUUUUGUUUUCUCAAACUCUAUGAUAUAGGGUGUGCCAAGGGAUGGUGGAUAUUUGGUAACAAGAAAAGAAAAACCAAAAUCUAGGCCUUAUUUAGCUAUCAUUAUGUGUUCUUUUAUUUAUCAUAAAUAAACUCUGUAAUUGAUUAUGUUAGCGCAAGGCAAUGGUAGUUGAAAUCGGUGAAAAUUUGUCAUAGUGGAGCGGUAGAACAUGGGUAGUUGAGGGCAUCUAAGGUGGAGAGACCCAGAGAUGUCAAGAUUGUACUUGGUCGAGGUGUGUGCGCAUGCGUGAGAGAGAGAGAGAGAGAGAGAGAGAGAGAGUCUAAGGAGGAGUUCACGCUACCAUUCCCACUUUCGACCAAGUCAGAAUUUAGGGGGAAAAAAUGCAUUUAACAGGCAUAAAAAGAUUAUUGAAGAGCUGAUCAAGUAUAUGAAAUACCUCAUCCAAACAUUUCUUAAUAAACCGUUUAUGAACAUCUAGAGAGAAAGCCUCCUUUCCCAAAUCCUUCUCUAGUAUUCUUCGGACACCUUCAAGAGUCAACGAGCUACAAUAACAAAAAGUUUAGCAGCUUUACAAUUCAAACUCAUUGUCCGACGAGCAUCUACAUAACCCAUUAUGUAAGCCAACUAAUUCCAACUUUAAAACAAACAUUGAUUUCUAAAAGUAGAUAAGAAUCAAAUUUGUCUUUCAUGUAAAAACUAUCGAUAAAAGAAAAGAGCAAUUAAUGCAGAUAGGAAGGCAAUAUAGAAGCUAAUAGCCUACACAAUAACAGAUCACUAAAUUGUAUCAGCAAGAGCAAUUUGUAUACUAGUAAGCCAACCACAUUGUAGUGCUGAAUCCUAUAUUAUAUACUGAUAAAUGAGGAUACAGUCAAGGAUAAUUGAGCUAAAGCCAGUCAGCAACUGCAAUGGCAGCACAAGACACACAGUACUUGGACAAAGCUGAUUACCAACCAUUAACUAGAUCAGUCUCUCCAAUCAAACUUAACACAAUUUGUUUCAAUGUUCUGAAAUGGAAUGAGGAGGUCACAUAGCAUGUAGUCGGUCUCAUGGAGGAUAAACUGGAUGACAAAUUAUGGGUAAAUGGCUCUAGCUUCUCGCGUACCAACAUCAAGUCCGGAUUAACAAAUUAAGGCUAUCAAAUCUCACUCAUCACUUCAUAUUAGGAUGGACUCCAAAGAGCUCAUCCGCCAUAUAUAUAUAUAUAUAUAUAUAUAUAUAUAUAUAUAUAUAUAUAUNUAUAUAUAUAUAUAUAUAUAUAUAUAUAUAUAUAUAUAUAUAUAGAAUUAUGGGCUCAAUUAAUUACAACAAUUAGUUCCGCUAUUCAGCUCAAUUAAUUACAACAAUUAGUUCUGCUAUUCAAACGCAAUUAUACGAAAGCGGGCACCUACAUAAGCAAGUGAUCGAAGUGGAAUCAAUUCCGCAUAAUCAGUGCAAGCAAAGUUAAAAACAAAGGUGCAACAUGCUAUUACAUCGACACCUUACUCCCAAGAAGACAUGCAUCAACAGAAAAUAGUGAAAUGCCCAACAGCAGAGCUAAUUAGCAAGCUAAUGAAGAGAGAGAAGGGCAGACAGAAUGAACAGUGGAGCAGAGUUAAUACAUGCUAGGAAGAAACUUCCCAACGAAUGUGUGAUGUCAUACGGGAGAGGAGGAAAAGAAGAAGAAGAAGAGCGGGUAAAAGAAAGAAAGGGGAAAAGAGACUAGGGUUGAGGUUCUCAACUCAGCCUGCUCUUUGAAGUGGCUCACUCGCGCCCGCAUCGCCCUCGCUAUCUCCUCCUCUGCCUCUCCCUUCGCCUUCUUCGCCCCCUCCUCCAUGCCUCCUCAAAUUCCUCUUUCUCACAGUCCGUAAAUCAACAGCGGAAGUGGAAGCGGAAGCAGAAGCCGGGCUGCCGGACCAAAACCAAAAAACCAAAAAAGAGUCGUCGCCGCGCCAGGAAGAGAGGUCGGUCGUGGUGGAUUCAAUGGCUCGUGCCGCUUUGCAGACCCAAUACGGACCGAGUGGGCUCGGGCAGUUCGGGUCGAAGUGGGAUUUUGGGAUGCGCAACCUACAUGUAUACUUAAAAACUAGCAACUAACCCGUGCAAUGCACGGAUUUUAAAUUUAUCUUUUAAUUACAUUUUUUAUAUAAUAUAUAUUAAUUUUUACAUAUUAAUUUUUUCUAAUAUAUUUUUAUUACAAUUUUUAUAUAAUAUAUAUUAAUUUUUACAUAUUAAGCUUUUAUUAGAAAAAUUAUUGAAUCAAAUUAAAAUAAAUACUAUCAUGAUAUACUAAUAGAUUGUAAGUAAAUAAUUUAAAAUGAAAAGAUUUUAAAAUGAAAAAGUAAAAAGGUUCAAAUCCAUUAAAAAUUUAACAUAAUUAUUAUUUAUAUAUUUUUUAAUACACAAUAUUGAAAUGGCGAAGAAAAUUAAUUUUAUUUCAAAUUCUUAAUGACUAAUUCUGUAAAGUUAUUUUUUGAAGGAUUUAAAGUGACUAAAUUUGAAAAGGAAUUUUUAGACACUUGGGAAGCAUAUACAUAUAUGAUUCUUUUUAAACUAAAAAAUUUAUUAUUGUGAAUAAUAUAGUCAUCGAGAUUUCAAACAAUCAAAUCACAAAUUUUAAAUAUACUAUCAAACAUACCUCCCAAAAGUAAUUAUUGAGCAUUUCUUGGCGAUAGGGUAAAUAUUUAUGCGCUCGCGAACUUGUUCAAAUACUCAUGAUGAAUCCAAAGCGACUGGUAUAUUUCCUGAAAAAAAAAGAAGAUAAUAUUAUACAUUACAAACAGACCAAAUCAUAAACGUAACUUAUUUCGAAUUUUGCCAAUGAAACUACAUUUUUGGAAAAGAUUGUGGCAUAAAGAUCGGAAAAUAAACUUUACAUUUGUAGAAAGAUUUUGGGCGUAAAGAAAUGAAAAAUAAACUUACAUUUUUGUAGAAAGAUUGUCAUAAAGAUGAAAAUAAGUCCGCCUCCACCUAUCAUACACUCAUGAAUUAUAACUAUUGAAAAAUAAUGGCAUUUCUUGUAAAAAAUCAAUAAAUUAUAAUUUAAGAUAAAAAAUUUGUCACUUACUAUAAAAGUGAAUACCUCAAUCAAAAAAGAAGGGAACAAAAUAAGAAAAAAAAAUAUAUUAAACCUAUUGUGCAGUUAAUUGAGCUGGAAAAAAAAAUAAUUAUUACUUUUAUUAUUUUAUAAUUUAAAAAUCAGGAAAGCUAUUAUAUAUAAAAAUAUAUAAUAGAAAAAGAAGCCAAAUUUAGCAAUAUCAAAAAAUAAUUGUAUGUAAUGGUUAUGAUUUCUUCUAAUAUUAAAUAGUGUAUAUAUAAUUUAAUUAAAAAUUCAGUUGUAUAUAAACUUUCAUUUAAAUAUAUAUAUUAUAUAUUACUAUAUAUAUAUAAUAUACUAUAUUAAGCCAAAAAAUUAAAUAAAAUUAUAACAAACACCUACUGCAAUUUUCCACCGCCGUCCGUCUCUUUCCUAUGAGACGCGCCGUUCCUCGCUCGCUAUCAUCCUGCAAUGAUUAAAAGUAAAACGCGCGAGAGAUCGUUAGAGAACCUAAACAAAGAGAAAUAGAGAGAACAACUAUAAAAGUUGAAUACGGCCUCUAUCCAAGAAGAAGGGAAAAAAAAAAUUAACUGUUGUUUCUAGUUAAGGAAAAAAACUGUUGUGCAGUUAGAAAAAAAAUAACUAUUGUGUAGUUAAGAAAAAAAACUUAUUAUUUCUAUUAUUUUAAUAUUAAAAAUAAGUAAAGCUAUUAUAGUAUAGAAAAAAUAUAUAUAAAACAAGAAGACCAAAUUUUACCAAAUAUUUAAAUAAUUUGUAUGUAUGUGUUAUGAUUUCUUACUAAUAUUUAAAUAUUUUGUAUAAUAAUUAAUUAAAAUAGUUAUUAUAUUAAUUUGGUAUGUAGGUUUAUAAUUUCUCUAAUUACUUAAAGUAUUUGUAUAGUAAUUUAAUUAAAAUAGUUGUUAGUAAUUCCUCUAAAUUACUUAAAUAUUAUUAGUAUAUAUAAUUUAAUUAAAAAUAGUUGUUAUAUUUCCUCUAAUUAUUAAAUAUUAUAAAUAAUUAAUUAAAAUAGUGGUAUGAUAUAUAUAUAUAUAUAUAGCCGACGUGGCAGAACAUUGAAACCUUUUUUUGUAAGUGCGGCCAGUGGCAUCAUUUGGUUUCAAUUUGGAACAGAUAUUUUCUAAAUUAAUAUAUAUAUAUAUAUAUAGUAAAGGUAGAGACCCGCUCUUUCCAGCGGAUUAAUAAAUUACAGUUAUUAAUCGACAAAAAUUUCUUAAUAAAAUAAAAGAUCUGAUUAAGUGAAUAUUUUUUAUAACUAAUCCUAUCAAUUUUUAUAAUUAUAAAAAUAAUUUUUUAAAAAAAUAAUUAUAAAAAUAGACCUUUAAAUGCGGUGAAUGAUUCACCACAUUCAUAACUUUUAUUUAGCAGUAAAAAAAUAAUAAAAGCGGUGAACCAUUCAUCGCUUUUACCAUCGUAGAAUACUAUAUCUACAAAUAAAAUUUCAACAGAUUUAUUUUUAUAAUAAAAUAAAAUUUUAGAAGAAAACUAUUGAACUAAAAAUUCCUGAUUAAGUAGACAUUUUAAAGAAAAAUAUAAGCAAACCUUAUAUAAAUUAUAUUUAAUAAAGUUAAGGGAUAUUUAAAAUAGUUGGAUAAGUGGAUAUCAAAUAUAUAGUCAAAAUAUUUACAGAUAUCAAAGUCCAUACAAAACAAAUAUUAGAAAUACAUAAAUGGACUGAGGCAUGAAUUGCAAUUCUUUAUUUCUUGACUUCAUCUGCUUGAACAAUUUCAUUAAACCUACAAAUCAAUUAGAAUAAUUAAAUAUAUUUUUUGGUUUUUAUUCAACACGUAGUUAAGUAAGAGAAUUUAUUUACGUAAGACAAGUUGGGUUAAAUCGAUAUCUUUUGGCAGGCUGCGUUUCAGAUAAGUUCUCAGUAAGUUGUUCAGAGCUGGUCAAAAAAACAUAUAUAAAAAUUAAAAAAAAUUACACUUACGCAAAAUAUUAUAAGUAUAGAAUGGAUAAUUGAAAUAUGAAAUUUCUAUGUUUGGCGAUGCCUCUACAAAUAAUUCUUUACAAAUUUGGUUAUUGGUAUAAAGGGAAUGAAGCUGUUCUUCACAUUUGAUAAACAAAUUUUUUGUUAUAGAGAACUUUCCUUUGGUAUUUAGAAAUAGAGAAAAAAAUUUGAUGACUUUAAAAAAUGGUAUGCUUGACCUAAAUUUUUGGGCGUCGGGUACAAUUUAAAAAAUAUGUUUCUGACCAAUAAUUAUUUUAAUCAUAGGAACAUCUAUAAAUUGAUCUGAACCCAGUGAGAUAGCUAGAUUUUGAAUAGGAAUGUGAACUAAAUCUUGUACCAAUGUCACGCCCCGGGGUCCCUUUUCAGUUUAAAACAAAGCGGAAAAGCGUCUGAAUUUUUUUUUUUCUUUUUUUUCUUUUUUUUUUUGAAAUCCUGACCCCAGAGUAUGCCAAAUCCGCCACAAAUACAGGGAAUCCACUAUUCACACGGACAGAGUCUCCCCUGUAUUUGCACGACGUCGAUCAAAUACACAGUACAACCAGGAUACAACCACAACCAGAUGAAUAUAAAGAUAACUAUACAUUCAUACAUUCACCAUUCACAUCACAGUUUUACAUUCAAGGUAUAAACAGAAAUCCACAAAAAUCUUUUGAAAGCUGUUUCCUACACAGAAACCUUUAUUCUUUUAAAAACGCUACCACGAGGGGUAGAAAACCUUUUAUUNAUCAACAGAGAGUUUAGUCGCACUGUCAAAAAUCUCAGUCCUUACAACCAACUACCCAAAGACAGUAUAGUUAGUUAUACCGCUUUCAUCGCCAAUAAUAAUGUUGAAUUUGUACUUUUGUUUACAACAAAUACAUCAACAUAUAUUAAAUUUAUGUGCAGAAAGUAACUAAUCAAUGUUUAUUUAUAUUAAACUAGAAUUAAUAAAUUUUGAAAUUAAAAUUUGAUCAAAGAAAGGAAAGUAAAAUUAUUACCAUGGUAUAGAAGUUUGAUUAUUUUUAUCAUAAUUUGCGCAUCAAAAAGAAUCAUCAUAUAUUUUAAUUGCUAUUUUGCAAUUAUAGCAUAUUUUAUGCCACCAACUAAAUGAUGUAUCAAUAUCUACGAUUUUAGCCUGACAGGUGAACUUCAUAUCUUUCAAUAAAAACAAAAUGAAAAACUAUUAUAUUGAAAAAGAAGUGAAGAAAAUGAAAAUAAAUAAAUAUGUUUCACACUUUAUAAAAAGCUUACGUGUACGCUAAAAAGGUUUAGAUCUAACAAAUUAAGAAUGAUUUUUCGAUUCAAUUGCUUCUCUUCUUGAGUACUCAUAAUUUGGUAACGGCCUGUGCUAAUCCGCUAGAUUGAAAUAGUUGUUGGUAGUAAGUUGAAAAAAAAUAAUAUUGAUGUAAAUAAAGUGUUAAUAUUUACAAAAACUUAUAAAAAAUUUAAUAUAUAUAUAUAUAUAUAUGUAGAACUAGGCUGGAAUACUAUUAAUAGCACAAAGUCAUUGGUGCUAUUAGUUUUUUAGCCCUUGGAUUGAGAAAUGUGCGGUUAGGAUGAUGUGGGCCCCCUAGGUUGAGUGGGUAGUUGGUUGAAUAGUAUAAUCUAACGGGUAAAAAUAAUCAGAGGGUUAAAUCUAACGGUGGAAAACUCGAUAGCACCAAAUCCUUGGUACUAUCGAUAGCAUCCACACAGAUGUUGGGAGUUCUCGCACCAAAAUCAACCAUCGGGAAUUUUUUUCGAAACUCUCCAGGAUCUGCGGCAGGCAGUGCCUGGCACACUUGUCGAACAGGCUUGAUACGGAAUUCCGUUGAGGCGGUCGGGGUAACAUAGGAUUGAGUUACGUACAAACUACGGCGGGAAAGCCAUUUCGGUAACCGUAUCGACGGCAGACCGCGGGCCCGGACCCUCGGGGUUGCAAUUUUGUCGGCCUUGUACCGGUCACAAGAACCUGUCACCGGUACAAGAGCAAUUCGUGCAGUUAACGCAGGGUUUAUCGCGAUGUGGGCUUUUAUAACAGCCGCACGCACCGUUAAAAUUUUUUCCCCUAGGGCAGCCCCCUGAGCUGGAAACAGUCCGCUAUAGCAUAAAUAUAGUGGUAACACGUAGCUUCCGUCACCAGAGGCGACCCUUUGUCCCCUUGCGUGUGAUGUCUUUUGAUUGGUUGGGUUUUAAGGUAAACCGUCUUGCUCGGUUUGACGUGUUUCGUGGAGUCACUUCCCCCAUUCGAGGCUUGUGACUGACCUUGGCUUAGAGGGGGAUCUCCGACAUCUUGAGGAUUGUGAACUUGUUGAUAGCUCUAAGGUUAGUACUAAUCCUCUCCUCUAAGUAGAUUAUGCUCUUUGGUGAUGAACCCUAAAUAGGUUUAGGGCUUAAAUUUGGGCAUGUUCUGAAUCAAAGGCUUUUGAAUGAUUGUGAUCGAGCUUUCCAUGGUGGAUUGAUAAGCCGUUGGCUUCAUUGAAGCUUUAGAGAAUAGCUGCAACUAGAGGUCAUUUUCCCCACCUAUCGCCUAAUUUUUAUACGUUUUACGAUUGUUAAGCUAGAGAUUUGUAUCGUCGUUGAGGAACUUGUGUGACAAUGUUUCGUAUGAGCCCUCGGUUUGAUAAUAGGGGUAGUACUAGUGGACACAUUAUGUACGCCCCAAGGUUGUGUUUGCAUUGUAUCAGCGAACGAGGAGUUACGAUUUUGUGUGUUACUACGGGGUUUUUGUUGCUCAUUCGCUUGAACCAUCGUAAAAUGGGCGAAAUUGGCCCCGAGGCUCGUUGCACUGUUUGGCGAAAAUUUUGUGAGUGCUUGCAUUGUGCGAAGUUAAAUGGAAUAGAUGAAAUUGUACCUUUUAUAGAAAGCUAUCGAAAAUUCGCAUCUGAGCUUGACGUACUAACCACUCAACUUAUAUAAGCCAUUACAAGGCUAGCUACUAAACAGCAGAAGGGGAGAAGUUGAUUUGCAAGUGAAAAAUACCUAUUCCUCCCUAGAGCGGAUAUCACGGAAUAUUUAUUGACUGCUGGCGUAGAAAACAUAAUGCCAUUGCUUUGGAACUUGUUUAACAAACAGGUCACUUAACAGGCGGCCACCUGGUGAACCUAGCAAACUGAAACUGCAAUCUAGGACAUAUGAAGCGCACCACUGUGUAUCUGAGCCUAUAUUCUUUGAGAGAACAUGAUGACAAGGAAUAGCCAUUGACGAUACUUGAUAUAUUCCAGUUGUUAGACAUCGAGACUUGGUACUUGGAGAGGAUCAUCGCUGCUUUGCCAUUCUGUGCCAUAUCGCACAGCUUGUGGAGGUCGCUCCCUCCAACCGGCACUGCUGACCACGGCCUGCCGCCCGAGCCAUCUCCAUCUUUUCUCCUCUCCUCUAUACUCUAGCAUCCUCGCGCUCUCACACCACUCUUUCUCUCGGGCGUUUGUGUGUUGAAGACCCGGAAGCUGCCCGGGCACGAUGGUGCCCGGGAAGGGAGUUGGGCCGUGGAGGCCACCCAAGUGGGAUCGGACCGUUCCAUCGCCCUGACCCGGCGGUGCAACCGGGGCCCAGUUGGAGCUGCUCCGGCGUCUUCACACCCGGCGCAGGCCAGGCACCGCGGGGGGUCAUAGGAAGGGGGACUGGUACAGAACAUCGUUAUGGAAGCCCCUUAGAGAACGUCAACCGGGACUUGAACUAGAAGAGUCACAAAGAUCAUCGGUUACGAUUCCCAGCGUCCGGAUCGGAUUAGGUGGGCCAAUAAAGCUCAUCGUUUAUGUGGCGCGCCGCAACAUUGGUGGUCAUGCAUUAGCUCGAAGGCUGCGUCUCACUUAUGGCGGAAUUCAUCUAAGUUUAGAGAUUUUAUCAUGAUAUGGGACUUCGUCGCAUUAAUCUUAAGCCAUCUGCCAGGCAAUCAGAGCCCGUUUUCAGCGGGUCUAAGUUUCACGGCCUGAGACGCUCGGGCUUGUUCAUUCGGCAUGUGGCAGCACUUCACGGCAAGUCCGAACAUUCCGCGCUCGCCCACGAAUAUAUUAAUAUGCUCCGCCGGGACGCCCGGCCGCCGACACCGCUGGCACGCGCCGGGGCCCGGACCCCGCCGCCGGCGCCGCCGCCCAUCCGACGGCGCGCCGGCGCCUGCCGCGGCCAGCCGGGGCCGCCCCAAGACCCCCCCCCCAAGUCCCGUGGCGGCGCGAGCGAAGCCCGCGCCGCGCCGCAGCGCGCCGCCGCCCGGGGCCGCCCCGGGGCACCGCCCGACCGCGCAGUCGCCACCGCCCCGAGCGCACCCCGACGGCCGGCGGCCGCCGCGCGAGCCGGCCGGGCAGCCUCAAGCCGAGCUGAGCCGAAGCCGCGCCGCGUGCCAGCGGCCGGCCGGAACGGGGCCACCCCGGGGACCUCCGCGCCGACCGCCCGGCACCCGCCGCCGCGCGGCCCGGACGCGCCGGCGCGCCGGGGCGGCAGCAACGCCGGGAACGACCGAGCCGAGCGCGGGCGCGCGGGGGGGCGCCGGGCCUACUUGGGGUGGUAGCUCGGACGCGGCCACGCCAACGAGGGGAGCACGGGGGCGCACCGCCGCCGCACGCCGGGCCCGGCCGCCGCGCGCGCCGCCGGCCGCGGAGGCCGGCCGGAGCAAGGGGCGCCGGCGAGCCCCGAAAGCGACUGAGGGGGGAGGGAGGGGGGGGCCGGAGCGCCCGAGCGGCCCGAGCGCGACGGAACGAGGCACGGGGAGCCGGGCAAGGGCGGAGCAAGCGGGCGCACCGAGGGCGGGCGGGGAGACGCCGGGCCGCGGGGGCGGGCGGCGGCACGGGGCAGCCGGGGGGGCGGCGGGCGCGGGGGGGGGCGGGGGAUGCGGCGACCGAGGCGGGCCGGAGGCCCGCCGGGGGGAGCACGGGGAGCGGGGGCCGGGCGGAGCACAGGCGCACCGGCCCGGGGAGCAGAAAGGGGCCGGGGAGGGCGGGACGGCGCGAGCCGGCCCGGAGGGCGCGCGAGGCGCGGAACUCGUCGGGUGCGCCGCGCCGGCCACGGGAGCCGCUGGCGCCGAGCGUGGAGCACGGACGCCGGUACGCGGACCGGGCAGGUACGGCUUCGUGGAAGAGUUUGAAAGUCGCGGCGGUUGCCGGAAGCGAAUGCCGGGUUGAGCGCGCAAAUUGACAACGAAAAUGAGAGAUUUAGGAGUAGAUAAGAGGUCUGAUGCAAGUAGUUGUUGUGGGCUACCGGUGGCAGCGUGGUAAGAGGGUUGUGACCGCGGGAUUCGUUAGGUUGCCAGUCCGGAGCGUUGCUCGCGGAACGGGUAGGUGAUGAUCUGGUGCGUUUUUUCGGUCGAAAUUACCGAAAGAACUGCAGGUUUCGUCCCGGAUUCUUUCCGACGGUGUUUGGUUGCUUCGUGUUUUGUCGCUGAGUCCUUGUUGGCUGGUCACCAUCGUCAUUUUGUGGGUUCGAUGACGAUAGGUGAGCGAUCGGCGGGUUCCGGGUGUCGAAAUAGACACUUCCGGGAACCUGGAUCGCUACGAUUAUCGGCGCGAUGAUCCGUAUUGUUGUGUGACUUGUGUUCGCCUGCCAAGGCAUCCAAAUUGGAAUGUUUGGGGCAGCGGGUGAUUCGUGGUACGAGUCGGUGAGGUUCGGGACACUUAGGUGGUCCCGACGGCGUCCCGGUGUGUGGUUUUCGGGACUUCCGGUGAGUUACGGUAAUCGAUUUGGAGAAACCGAUUACGGGGAUCUUGUGUGGGGGUUUGGUGAGUCUCAUGUGCUUGGGUUAGUGGUUUAGAUACUGACUUGGUGGAUCUUUCUUAGGUCCGUAGACUUGUGCGUACCCAGUGUUCGCGACGCGACAGUGACAGGUGGAUCUUCGAGCUGGUAGUCGGUGAGAGCGUUUCACUUCCUUCUCCUGUUUUCUAUUCCAGUAUAUUAGCUCUACAUGUCAGUUGUUUGAUUAUCGUUUGGUAUCGUAUUCGUUGACUGCAUUGGUGAUUAUCGUUUGGUUAUCGUAUUCGUUGACUGCAUUGGUUAGUGAUUGAUAGACAUGUAGAGCAGGUUGCAUAUGUAUUUCAGUAUCUCUGUGGACCUUGGGUCCAGGCAACACAUCGACUCUCUUGUCGUGUGUUUUCGAUCUGGUUGAUCGAGGUUCGGCAUUGUACGCCCUAGCAUCUAUUUCAGUUCGCGCUUGUACGCCCUAGUUCUAUUUCGUUUGGCAUUGUAGCCCUCGUUGUUGGCUUCGGCCUAGGCACCGGCUUAGCGGGUUUGUUUUUGUUUGAGCAUACCAGCAUGACUUAGUCAGGCACUUGGGGGUAUUCAUGACACCGGAUCGGUUUGGCCACCGAUCGGAGGUGUAUAUCUAUCGGAUAGGUCGUCCUGCGGGGGCGAUGGAUCAGGUCGUGCAGUUAGUGACAGGUAGCGCUUGAGGUCUGCGGACCGAUACAGCAGCACAGAUUGGUACAGUUUCUGGUUCAGUACAUUGAGGCAUUCUUGCAUUGUUUUCUAUACAGUAGCAGGUUUUAUUUAUUGCUACCUAUUUAUCUGUUGUAGCUACUGUAGUUCUAUUUCAUUUCAAGCUUAUAGAUAUAUAUUUGUUUAUCUAUCUCCUUUGGUUUCCGGUGAUUACGACUUGCCUUCGUGGCUCUGUCGUACCCACUGAGAAAACCAUGGUUGCGUUCUCACCCCCCUUUUCCCCCAGGUGACAGAGACGAGGAGUUGGAUUUUGGGCUCGACGAGAGGACGAUCUAGUUAGACGGCAGUAGCGUCCGUCACCCUGGUUAUUUCUUUCCCGCCUUUAGUAGUCAUUUAAAUAAAUGGUUCAGUUAGAUGUUUGAUUGUUGUGAUUUCCGUUUAUGCAUGAGAUUAUGGAUAUUUUUAAUUAUAUGAGAUUGGAGUUUUCGAUCUGUGGUUUUGGUUCUGUGGAGAUUUGGUUUCUUGUAGUUAUGCAUCUGUGGUUUUCUACCCCUCGAGGUAGUCGGUUUUCAAAAUAGAGUUUCCGUGUGGGAACAGUUUUAAAAAGUUUUCGAAUGGUUUUUUAUGAAUGAUUGAAUUAGAGUAGAAAAACAAAAGCUUCCGUGUGGGAGCACUUUUAAAUAGGAUGUUUUGUAUUGUGCAUUGCAUCAUCCAGCGCCUAAGGAGUGCUUAGAGCAUGCUCAUUCUAAGGAUUGUUAGCUGUAUGGGAUUGCAUAUCAUGCUUGGUUGUUGAUGGUAAAUGUGGUGGUUGUGAUCCUGUUGUAUCGUUGGUACGCGUGCAAAUACAAAGGAGACUCUGUCCGAUGUACAGAGGAACUUUGUAUUUGUGGCGGGUCUGUACGUCGCGUGGGCCAGGUUGAAAAAAAAAAAAAAUGACACGUUUUCGCAACUCUGUUUUCAAAAUGGCUUUUAAAAUCGGCCCCGGCGUGACAUCAAAUUUGACAGGCAUGUUCGUUUUUACUUAAUAAGUCCAAAAAAAUUUUAAUAUUUCAGUUCACCCCGUUUGGUCACUGAAAAUUGUAUCGAACUGUAAUCUUAUCAGAUAGCGUGUUGGAUUUUAUUUCUCACUCUUACANNNNNNNNNNNNNNNNNNNNNNNNNCCCAGCCGGCGGACUCUAUCAUCCUCAUUAUUAUAUAUAUCUAGAGUCCGGCUCUAUGCUAUUAAUACACGAAGCCUUGGUGCUACCACGUUUUUCCACGUUCGAUAUUCUCCUCAUUUUAUCAUUUUCAUCCGUUAGAUCAUACUAUUCAACCACCACCACUUCAACCUAGAGGGCCCACAUCAUCGUAACCGUCAUACUCUUAAUCAAUGGCCCAAAAAUUGGUAGCACCAACUGAACUUAGUGUUAUUAAUAGCAUAGUGCCCUAGUUCUACCUAUGUAUAUAAUAUAUACUCAUACGGAGAGAGAGAAGAAGGAAGGACAAAAAAAAGAAGAGGAGAGAGAGAGAGAGGGAGAGAGAAGAGAGAAAAGUUGGAGGGCUACCUAUUAGUAAGCAAAAUCCCAUUGUUGCUGUCAUCGACCCGCAACCGACCAGCCCAUUUGGCCCGAUGGUCGCGGCGCCGCCAGUUGCCCGAACGGACAGGGUUCCUGUACUGCGGACAGAGUUCCCUGUACGCCUUCAAGGCACGCAAUCAAUACAAUACCGAAGGUUCCAACCAGGAACUGAUAUUAUCAAGAUUCGCUAUAAUGGACAGAGUAUUCAAACAAUAUAAACACAUCUAUAUUAUUCAAAUUCACAUUGCAUACAUUUUACAUCACAUUUCACUAUUCUUUUCAUCCAAAUGCAAACUGAGUUAUACAACUUUACUUAUUAAUAAAUUUGAUACAUUAUGUUCCAUUGUGCUUUUUUUCCAUUUCUUAACCCUAAGCUAUGUCCGACGGGUACUGCUAGCUUCUGGUCUCUGGGUCAGGGCGCUAUCUACGGAGCUACGUCUUUCUCGCGCGCCGCGGCCGGCCCACCGCGCUAGUGAACCAUGUACACCCCCAAAACAAGAGGGAGAGAAACCAAAUCCAUGGUUCCAUGAUACGGCACCCAAUGAGAAAGCUCGACCGAAAGGUCUGUCACACGCCCGCGACACGCCGCCUACAUUCUGGCCGAGGUCCCGGCGCCCGCCGCCUCCGAAUGGACAGGGUUUCCCUGUUACGGACAGAGUUCUCCCUGCGUACAUUAAGGCAUAGCAAUUAAUACAUUCACGAGGUUCAACCGGACUACUAAUCAAUCAGAUUUGCAAGUGGAAGGUAUCAUAAAAUAAACACAAUCUCUACGGGUGUCAGAAAAAUAUGAAACUUUAAAUCUAGCCUCAUAAAAAUAUUUCUGACAUCCCCGCAAAUUUUCAUAAUUUUCUGAGACUGUGCAUUUUCUGCUAAUUUAUCAGUCCCGUUUCCAACAGAAAAUUCUAAAUCUUCUGUUUUCGCUCCGAUUUCAGCACAGGUCGCUCCCAACCGAUAUUUCACUUCUCUAAAUCCAAUAAAAUAGUAUCUCAUACUAUUUUUAUUUAUUUUUCUAUUUUAUAUUUAAAAUCCGGUAUGUUACAAGGUCCAAGGAGGCACUGCAAUCAUGUUAGUCCAAAAACAUCUAUAGAUAUAUAAA